UUUUUUUUUUUUUUUUUUUUUUUGCCUUUUCAUCUUUUACUACACACUACUGAAACCAAAAGCUUGGUAAAAUUAUAAGAAAAAUUUUAACUGCGUGGUUCGUUUUAAAAUAAUUUUCUGCAUCUUUAUCUUCUAGAAGUUCCUUAUUAUUAUUAAUUUUUUUUUAUCCACAUGCAUGGAGUUCCUUUGUCCAUUUUCCACAGCACGGGUCCCGAGUCUGUGGCGUUCUUCCACGGCAGUCAAAACGGGGCAAUCUCCAGUGCAUUGUAUAGACCAGCAGCACACUAAUGUUAUGGAGUUCCUUCCUUUGUCAGUCACUGUUCAGGGCAACACGGGCAAGCAUUUCAGCAUAUUUCAAAGCAGCAGGACCGAUUAAUAGGAAUGUUUGCGGGCGAUGUUAUUGGCGGACGGAGUAGAAUAAAUACGAAUAUUUUUCGUCAUUCACUUUUUAAAUAAUAAUUUUAUAUCCUUUAUAAGAUAAAACCUAUAAAUUUUGACUCUAACUUAAAUUUUCUACCACUGUUUAUCCUGAAUUUUUAAAUUUCUUUUGUAAUUUGUAAUUAAAUAAAUGAUGCAAUCUAUAUUUAAUUUUGUUCAUAAGAUAACUUUUUUUAUACAUAUAUAAGAUAACUACGUGCUUGCGAGUCACGUGAUGAUUUUAAAUAAAAAAAUGAUCGAAAACUCGAGUUAUGAUCAAAUUUUAUUAAAUUGAAUUUGUAAGAAACGUAAAAUCUCAUAUAUUUUAUGAGUGAAUGACAAAAAAAAUCAUUUGAUGAGAAGAUGCGAGGGACAUUUGAACGAACGAUUUUUUUCAUUUUUGGGAGUACUAAUUUGUUUGGAAAUGGAAAAAGCUAAAGAAAGAAUAAAGUAAAUAGUACUGCUGACUGCUCAGGAUUUCACUUGGGAUAUUUUUCAAACUCCACAUACUCGAUAGUACGACAUUGCAUUUCUCGCGCUCCCAUACAUACGUAGCUUUAUUGCACUAACAACUAUGAUUUUUUAUUAUUAACAAACAAUCAGGCUGGACAUCAGAAGUAUGGAUCUGUACCUUGAACUCUUCAUGUUCAAGGAAAUACAUACAUUGCCAGGUAUUGCUGCAACUACUACUUGUGGGGCAGCUUCACAAUCACAACAGGACAUUUGGCAUGGUGAGCACAGUAAUCGCUAACACUUCCCAGGAAUGCCCUGCAUACAACAAAUACGCCAACAUAUUGACACUUCUAGUUUUCAAACACAUUAAGAUCAGAUCAGAAUAAAACAAAGGGCUAAUUAGAAACUGCCUCUUGAUUUGACCAAGUCCGCGGCUGCCAACAACAAGAACGUCCACGUGCAUUCGUUCUACUGCCUCACAAAUCAUUUCCUUGGGAUCUCCCUCAAGAAUGAGGGUUUCUGCAGCGACCUACGUGCAAAUAUAUAGCCAUAUCCAAGAAUCAGCACUUCUCAAUAUGGCUUACUUUCGAAUGCUUCUCCAAAAUGAUAGUACUACAUGGUUUGACACGCACGGAAAAAAAAAAAGAAGAAGAAAAGAAAGAAGCUCCUGCAAUGUUCAUACUAGUACUGCUAACUAGAUAAUGACCUUUCUGUCCUUGCACAUACGGGAUGCCUGCGAGAGUAUUUUUGCAGCAUUUUGCUCCCGGGCUUUGGUGGCAGACUCGACCACUGGAAAUGUUAGAUUUCACGCAUAUAAUACUUGGGCAAAAAAUAACAUCAAUGGCAGCACCAAAAGCACUAGUAGUAGCUACUAGUUCAGAAUAGACAGACUAUGGAAUUGCAGAACAUACUUUUGUGUUUGUAAUUGCAUUAAUGGUGAUAUCACUAGUUGCUGUGUAAUUAAUUUAUAACAACCACGACGUACCGUAUCCGCCCGGGAAGACGUAGUGAGGCAAGCGAUCCAUGACAUGGACGAGGGAAACGAGGUUGGACUCCACUCGAUGGUCGUGUUGAUGAUCAGGUGUUUCAGUACCAGUUGGUAGCGUACUCAUCACGAUGUUACUGAAAAAUUUAUCCAGAACCCAAUUGAGAGCGUAGAAGCUCUCCUCGCUGUCAUCUACUGCCACCAUCGCCCUCAUCUUCUUUCUUUCUUGCGGCAACAACAUCUGCUGCUGCUCAGCCUGCUCUUGCUCCAUUGUUCCUCGUGGACCUGCUGCAGUACGGGUCCCUUUCUCUUCUAGGACACUGCUACUGGGCUAGUAGUGGUCUCCAUAUCUCUUCUUUAUUCGUCUGGGACUGGGAGUAUAUAUAUAUAACCACGUCUGGAAGUGUUCAACCGUCUCUCAAGAAACUACUAGCAGUGUAAUUAUUACUAGGUUAAAAGUGACGCUGGGUUGAAUAAACUUUUGAUCUGUAGCGGCUAGUCAUGAAUCAUGUUUCUCUAUGCACAGAAACAUUGGAUAUGGAUGCAACACGGGAGCAAGCAAGUUGGCACGGGUGCUGCGACGUGGCUUCCUCCUAUGUACUUACCGCUACUUUUGCAUGUCAAAAAUGGAAAUUUCUAUAUGCAUGGAAGCCACGUGUUUUUUUGGGGGGGGGGGGGGGGGUGGGAGUCAGGUUCAUCUUUUGCCAGGUUUCGAUCUCAAGCUUUUAAGAUCCUGCCAUCAUGCCCCCCCGACUUUAUAUACCUAUCCACCGAACACAAUACUUUCUCGUCUAUCUGAGGUUUAGGGAUAAUCCUUCGGAUCGAAUUACGGGGCCUGGCGUUGUCGUCUCAUUGCAAUAUUCCUACUUCUUUCAUUGCAAUAUUCCAGGUAAAUUAACUCGAAAUUCAUACUUCCAUGUGUAUAUAUAUAGACAUACAAGUGCUAGAAACGGAACUAAAGUAGAAAGUUGAAAUUGUAUGUCUAGUGACACACGUAUAUAUAUAUAUAUAUAUAUAUAUCUUGCUUGAUACAUUACUGAAAAUUAAAAAAGCCAGGUGGUAGCUCUGCGGGUUUUCGAUCUACAGGAAUGGAAAGAAAAGCAGUAGAUCAGACUAGUGGUGGAACAGAGGAGGAGGCAGCUGUAGUCGUCCAGCAGCAGCCGUUGUUGGCUGGGGAGAGAACGCAGAUCAUGAAAGUGAUGGUGGCGGUGGACGAAAGCGAGGGGAGCUUCUAUGCGCUCAAGUGGACCCUUAACCAUUUCUUCCACCAGCUCCCAGCUGCAGGUGCAGUACCGCCCGAGGAACCCGGCCGGGAGUCCAGCAUGAUAACUAUCGUACACGUUCAGGAGCCCUUUCAACCCUUCAUUUAUCCUGCUGGACCAGGUAUAUAGUUUUUCUCUCUGUGUGUGUGUGUAUCUAAAGCAAACAUUAAUUUUGUUUUCUCCAUAUCGUACUUGAUUCAUUUUGACUUAUUUUCUAGCUGUCUAUGCAACACCCAUGGUGGUUGAGUCCGUGAAGAGAGCCCAAGAAAAAAAUGCUGCUUCAGUUCUCAGUCGUGCUUUGCUAAUGUGCAAGGAUUACAAGGUAAAUCAAUAUAUUAUGUAUCACAUCAAAUACAGCAUGCACGUAUGUUCAUGAUGUACGUGAGUGCAUGAUAUGUACUCAACUGCUAUUUCAUAUUUGAGGAAGAUCAAGGCAGAAACUUUGAUUCUUGAGGGAGAUCCGAAGGACAGGAUUUGUGAAGCUGCAGAGGAACUGCAUGUUGAUCUUGUGGUUGUCGGUAGCCGCGGCCUUGGCAAGAUAAAGAGGUGCGUGGUAAUAGUAGUGAUUUCUGUAAUUAAACGUCAGUCAGCUGUAAACAAUUGCUAAUAUAUAUUUUGAGAUGUAAUCUUGGUUUUCGCAGGGCUUUCCUGGGAAGUGUUAGCGAUUAUUGUGCGCAUCAUGUGCGCUGUCCGGUUCUCAUUGUGAAGCCUCCAAGGGACCAGGAGGUCCAUAAGAAGUAGAUUUAGCUUUCGGUCCUAUAAUCAGUAAUCGCUCAGCCAAAAGAGUUGCAGCCGCGAUAAUUGUAAUACUACUCCUCAGUCUAUCGAUCAGGUUGAUAGACUGAGGAGUAUUAAGUGAUCUCUUUCCCUUUCCUUUGGCAAGCCUACAACAGUUUUUCUCUUUGCAAUGUCGGUCAUCUCGUCUGACUGAUGCUCACAGUUGGAAUUCUCCGAGUUUUAUCUUAUGAGAGCAUUUGGCAUUGAUUUUGUUAUUCUCUCCUAGUUCUCCCUUCUCUGGUUCUUCCCUCCUUCCAUACGCGAUUGUACAAAUUAAAUCACCUGUUACCGAGUUUUAUGUUUCACUCUCAAGGAUGUUUAUGCCCAAGUUGGGAAAAUGACCGACCUACGAUUUGUGAUUGUGAUGGCUUGAACGUCCUGCCGCCCACCGUGGGUGCAAAUGUUUGAUGGAUGGACAGAAAAGACGCUGGAGGCUCUACUCACGUUACCACGUAAUAAUAAUGUAGUGGGUAGCAAUAAUCAUUCAUCAACAGUAAUAGCAGGUAAUUCAUCAUGUUUGAAUGCUCGAGUGCAGCCUACGCCGAAUAGGAAUACUUGUGUGUAUGCAUGGAUGAGGGGCAGUAGAAUGACCGCUCUGAACUAUUCACGGUCAGAUUUUGGCCAAAAAACAAUAUACAUAGUUGUACAUCGAUUUUUACAGUAUGUACAAAACUCGCAAAAUUUUAUAUUAAAAUUACACAUUAUUUACGCCACGUGCAACCAAAAUUACGCGCAAUUGAAAAUGACCAAAAUCGUCAGAAACGGUUGCCCCUUGUAUGCAUGCUGUUGCUUCAGCAAUCGUAUAUAUUAUCGAGAUACAGACGAGAAUCAUGAAUCAGACUAAUAUUGUCCACAACAGAAAAUAUGAUGAUGAUGAUUGUUACCAUUCUCCAACCGAUUCCAUUUAAUGUGAAUAAUGUGUAGGAGUCGGAAUUCAGAAUUCUGAAACCCCGAACACACGUAUGUAUACAAACUUUUGUGUUAGAUUCGCUCGUCAAAUAUACAACGUCCGUGACGUUACUUUUCCUGAACUUUCCCGCAAACAGGUUAGACAUGCCGUCAUAUGCCCCUAUCUCUCUUGCAACGCUUGAAAUGCUCGUCAACGUCUAAAUAACAAAUAGAUGCUGUUUAUCCCUGGGCAGAUUAGAUGCGAUAAUAUACAAUCAGGAUCAAUACAAGUACACAAUAAAUAUCGGAUAAAAAGCACACAAACCUGUUGACUCAUAAUAAUUUCCACAGCUACAUCCAAAUCCCCAUCAGAAGCCGCCAACGCAACUUCUACCUGCGUCUGAAAGAUUCCAGCGAAUUUCUCAUCAAGGUUUUGAGAACAUCAUUUAAGCAAUUACAUGAGCACUGGAAUGCAAAAGGGUCUUUUUUUUUCCUUUGGCCAAAGAAAAUAAUACUCAGAUAAAUGAAAUUACAAACUGAGAAAGAGUCAGCACAAAAUAUGCAACCAGCAACUAUUUACCCUUUCAAAACCCAUGGCAACAAGUUUCUGUAUCUUUUCAUCAGAUGCAACAGGGCCCUACAUGUACAAGGGAAAAGAAACAAUUAAUGGUCAGUCAGAGGAACAAAAUACAUCAAGAAUCAAGCUUCCUACCACAUACGAACCUGAUUACUCUGCGCUCUGGUGACAGCUGCUGAUGCACCAUCAACUGUUAGCUGCCUGAAAAGAUAAAGGCCUCUCAGCACAAAAGCCUAUUAGAACAAACUAAUAGGCCUUCCAUUAAAUCACACCCAAGCUAUUGAUUUAGAGGUUGUAGUGACGAGGAAUGAGACUGAUAAAACAGGAGUUAUAGGCAUCAAACUAAAGAAUGAACUCUCAGUGAGAGCUAUGAAGUCACAUUUGAACAUUAACUUGUGUUCUGCGAACAAGAAUUAUCCCCUUCCCCAUCCAAUCCAUAUUUGCAAGCGUAUAUCAGGUGAAACAAAUUGAAACAAUGGUGCCCUUUUCCAAGUCUGUUAAUUAACCAAAUGGCAAAGUAAAAUCCAUUGAACUACCCACGGAAUGACCAUUCAAAUAUUAACUUCACUAGAAGUACAUGACUUCAAACUUCCUGCUUGCUAUAAAGCAAUUCAGUGCAACUACCCCUAGGUUUCUUUGUUACAAACAAAACAGAUAAAACACAAAUCCAUUACCAUUUGGGAAUAUCAAAUGAGCAUGAAUAACCCAACAUUUUACAAUUAAAACUCAAAAGAGAGUGAUUUCCUGUUUGAAAUGCAUACAUUGCAAAGCAGCAAAGCCAAUACCCAAAGAAAAAUACCAGUAUGGAGCUCAAAUAUAUGACAAGUCUCUGUAUGUAUAUAAAUGUCAAAUCAAGGUCAUGUUAGAGGAGAAGUCCACUUCCUAGUACCUUCCAUCUGAUAGUAGUUCACCCCUAGCAUUUUCUACUGUCUGUAAUGGAUUGUCUGUGUUGCUGUUGUCCAGAAGUCUAGCCUGUAAGCUUGAAUUAGGAUUGCUUUCAGAUGGUGAGACAAGCGUUCUUCCCCUUCCUGGAAAUCUACCAUCCUCUUCUACAGACUGCAUCUGUGAAUCAAAAUAAUAAAUUGUUAAAGUGAUCAUAUCACAUGGACGUGGUUUUUUUUUUUGUUUGAAUUACUACAGCUUUUUACUAAAGAAUGCCAUACUAUCGCAGCAAAGAGAAUGCACAUAUAUGUGGGCCACAAGAAAUCGAAAUUUGAGUAUGUUCCUAGCAUAAACUAGAUUUAAUGGCAGAAAACAGAAAAAUGAAAAUAUUCAAUGUUCAAUAGAGUCAUGGUUAGAAACCAGAAAAACAGACAUCUGAAAUUAUGUUUACAACAGCGCCAUAUACAACAACACAAGGAUGCACUGGAACCAAAUAACAUCUAACAAUCCUAAAAAGAUGACAGACAAACACUCUUAAGGAUGCUAUUCUGCAUUAAGAGCAGUAAUUCAGAGUUUGAUCGCAAACCCCAGGACAGAAAUUCUCUCAAUAGACAGCCUGCACAAGUUGUCUCUCCAAUAGUUAACAGCAACCCCUAAAUAAACAAUAAUGGUAAAGUUUUCUCCAUUGAAUAUAUUAUAUUAUCAAUCAGCUCCGACCAUUUUCUGCUUUUCUAGAUUGAUCCAACCUGUAAAAGACUUGUAUCAUCUUUUUCUUGAUGCAUUUAAUUUUCUUCAGCAUUUUGAGAACUUCAUACAUUCAAUAUGUUUUAUGGCUAGAGAUAAUAAGUAGCUUUAGCGCUUCAAAAAUUGAUAGCGACCAGCAAAUGCAGUCCUCCUUUUAUCAAGAUUGAAUAUUCGUGAAUUUUAGAGUAUGCAUGUUCACCACUGCAUUUAUGCAGGCUUCUAAGUUUUUCCAAAGGAGAAAAUAUAAACCAGAAAAGGCUACACAACAAAGCCCUUAGCAUCCCUUCUACCUAAUUUUGCAAAAUAUGUAUGUCAUUUAAAAUUGAGGAGAAUUUCAUAUUCAUAUACACCAUUAUUGCAUUCAAGAUCUCCAUUCUCUUGACUGAAUUACAGAGUGAGAUGAUUUGCUUUGAAAGUACAUAUCUAAGACUAUGCAGAAAAUUUACUUAAAUCUCCCCUCAACAAUCUAACUCAUCCAGCUCACCCUUUUCUCCACAAAGGAAAAUGAUUCAUUAUUAUGGCAUCCAUCGCCAACAGCAUCACCAAAAAGAGUGAACGGAAACAUGAAGAAAUGAAAGAAAAGCAGCUGAGCACCUGAGAGGUCUCUCUUUGUGGCAUCCAUGAAGAAAAGUUCCUCCAAACAUUUCCAGAAAGCAAUCCACUAUUCGGAAACAGAAUCAUCAUGUUCAGAUGUAUGUUAGAAAUCAAACUAAAAUGAAGAAAACAUAGUAAAACCAGACAAAUCUACCUGGAUGUUGGAUUUUGACUUGUGUGAGUGGGAAUGUAGCCUGAAGCAUUCCCACCAGUGCACAACAUAAACUUCGGUCUUCUCACGCACGUUGACUGACCAGGGAAGUAUAAAAUCAUUGCUAGUGAGAACAAUACAUUAACAUAAAUCAUGCAAAACAAACAAAAAUACAAGAGUAGAUAAACAAAGAAACGAUUUUGAGCAAAAGUUAAACUUCUUAUACACCUACAACUCUCAAGUUUUUAUCCUCCUUAUGGAUAUCAUUAAGUAUGACUGAUCCUGCUAACUCAAAAGGCUGUUAUCUCAACUUACAAGUAUGCAUCUAAACUUGUUCAACUGACAGACGACCCAUAGUCUGCCAUUAUCUACUAGAAAAGAACCUUCAAUUGUGUGUUGGACACACAUUGGUAUUAAUAGCCUCCUAUAAUGUAUACUUUAGGGAAAUUCAAACAUCUAGGCUUUGCCUCUCUCUCAACUGUCCUUUUUACUUUCAUUCCAAGUGCUGUCAAACCUCAUAGCUUCCCUACCAUAUACAAGAGAUCUUAGCUGUCCUUCAAAUCUCAUCUGCAUCAACUAGAAAAGUCAAUUCGAAAAGUAAAGAACAAGCAUGCCUUUAUGCAUAUGUAAGUGAUGAAAAUACAUAAGUGUUUGGAGAACUUCAAAUUACAUUUCAAUAUAAAAGAAAAUGAUAUCAACAAUAGCACGUCAAUGGGAGAUAUGACAUUAAGAAGAAAAUCGGUAACAAUGGAUCUGAUUCCAAUCUGCUUCAAAGAGGAAAAUCCCAGGUUUCAUGCAAAAAAGGAAAGCAUCCUUGAUGAUACUUACAAGCCAUGAGGAUGAUUCAAUUGCUGAAAAAAUGGACGUCCCAGGAAUUAAAAUGUUGAAUAAUCCAUAAGUAUCUGCACGAGUAUAAAUUGCAACUGAGUGUAAAUGUAGAGGAGAAUCCAAUAGUAGUUAAAAAGGAUAUACGUGAGGACAAAUAGAAAUUCUUAGAAUAAGCAUACAUGCAAAUCCAGACAAAAUGCCACAGAGAUGUCCAAGAAAAGAGACAUUUGUCAUAAGAAGCUGAAACACCACCAAUAAGAUCCAGGCAUACCUGACAGAGGUAUAUCAAUUAGAGUAUGACAUACAGCUAACAUAUGAAAGACAAAAGGAGAUAAAGUUACACUGCAAUGCAAUAAAUGUUUAUUUACCAUUUAGCAGGCACAUUAAAUAGCCCAAACACGCUGCAAAGAAAAUAUAAUAAGUUAUCAUGUCAGAUCCUGGAAGUUUCAAAGACUGAACUUAACGUUUCACAAUAUUAGAAAGCCAAUGGUACUUAUACAUGGUACAAGAUAUUCCAAAAAUAACUUUUUUGCAGACAGGUCUAUCUGCAAAAAGGAUUUAAUUCAAGGUUACGGUUAAAUGUGUAUCCCCAAAAAGGGGCAAGGAAAAGAUAAAAAGCUUUUGCUGAUGGCAAUUAUUCACAAGAGUCAGCAACAAGGAAGCCAAACCUUCUAGACUGGACUCCGCUCAAACUGGUCUCUAUCACAAUCAUAGAGAAGAGAAUCCCUGAGAAUCCUAUGCCGCACUCAUUCAUAAGAUAGUCAAAAGGACGGAAGGGAUUAUGAGAAAUCAACAAGGCUAAGACAAGGUGGAAUAUGGCAUUGCUUGUUGCCAAUAAAAUGAUCAUAUAAAACAAGCGGACCGACCCCAUGAUCCUCUCUAGUUCAGAUCCCAGAGGAACCAAAGCCAACAUAUUGAACAGAACAUGAAGCAUAGAACCAUGGAAAAGAAUUGAAGUAUAGAUCCUGUAAACUGCAUAGAAGAUAGGAAAGAGAUCCAAGGUUAAAUAUGAACUGCAUAGCAAAGGAAAAAGAUCCAAGGUUAAUAUUAACAGUAUGAUGUGACUUCUACCGUGGAGAGAAUUAGCUCUGUAAAAAUACAUAAAUGCAGCCAUAGGCUAUGAGAUGCAUUUGCCUACUACAAAGAAAGAAAAAGACCUAUUUGCAGCUAAAAUUUUAAGAUUUCAGAAAUCAAGUUCAAUAUAUUGCUUAAAAAGAUUAAUAACAGAUCUUUUAAUAUGCACUUUUUAGCAAGAUUAAGAAGGAAGAAGUGUCCCAUCGGGGACAUCCGAUAAAAUUGGAAGAAAAAGAAAGAAGUAAACACUAACCUUGAAAAUGUGAAAUAACUGCAGAUGGCCAAAAGCAUACUUCAGCAAAUGAGUCAUAUCCAACUAGUAGACAAACCAAGUAAACGACCCCACAAACAAUCACCACUGUAGAAGUGACGAAUGGAAUUCCUUCCCACCAUUGCCCUACCCUCGUGGAUAAUCCGGCCUUGACAGAAAAUAAAAAAUGAAACUCACCAGAAGAAGCACAGCAGUAUUUUUCUCCUCAUACAUUAAACAAGUCAACAACUCAAAAAAAGGUAAGAAGUGAAAAGUGGAAAAUUGUAAUAGACCCCCACCACCAAAGCACAUGGGACACAAUCCUCCCUCAAAGAAAAAGGAAAAGGAAAAAAAGAAAUGAGCACUAGAUGGUAGGACUCAUGUCGACAAAAUUGAAACCAUGAAGACAUUAAGAACCAGCAUAAUGCCAGUAUGGGCUAUCAAGGCAGAUCACAAUAUGGUCAAUAAAAGAGCAGAAAACUCCAUCGUUAGUUAGAAUACCACUGUUAGAUAGCUCAUUGGACUAAGUUCAAUUCUUCCUUUUUGGUCCCUCCUUUUCUAUGGGUGUAAUGGGGAAUUAAAGCAGAAGAGGCAUAGGUUAACAGUAAGAAUAAGUAAGGCAAUGGCUACUGCUCUUGCCAAAACUAUUUGCACAAUUCAAAAGAAAAUAAAACCAUACAAGCUUUUGAAAACUCUAAAAGUGGGCCAUGCGAACAGGGAUGUGAAUUCAUCUGGAGAUUACCAUUUACAAUGCAGGCCCUAUAAUCUCCACCAAAAGAUGCAUAAAUUCCCUACCCCAACAAGUAUUUUCCUUGCGAUUAUCUAUUAUUUAUCAUCCAACAGCAGUAAAUGUUCCUUAAUUCGCAUGAAUAAUUAACCCUAUCACUCAAUCCAAGUACACGUUCACACAUUCGACAAGUCCCCAAUUCAACAAACUUCGCAAAAUGAAAAUUUAGGGCUUUAAACUCCACAACACCCCCCUCCCUCACGCCACUUCCGAUUUGAAAACCAUGCUACAAGCUAUCCGCAUUUCAGCACAAAUAUGUACAUGCCAACUCAUUCAAACCCAAAUGUAUACAUGGCAAAGCAAGAAUGUAGAACCCAAAGAAAAAAUCCAAACAAACAACUGUCUUCUUCAUUCUUCAUUUCGCAAAAAUUAGACAUUCUAGACGGAUAGACAUAUAACCGCCCUCAAAAAAUUAGCAAUACUCUAAACUAGAGUUCACGCUAACUACAUAUACCUCGACGAAAUUCCAUUUGCUCAAUUUUGGAGUGAUAAAAGAGGAAACGAUGACUGGUAUUUUAACAGAUUCGCAAUCGAUGGUUCAAACAGAAGUUUGUAGAUGUCACCGAACUAACUUAAGUAACAACUAAUUGAAAAAGAAAGCAGGUAAGCUAAGGGUAGACGGGUAACCUCUGAAACGAUGUUUGAUCUCAUGCUGCGGUUUCUUCUUCGAGCUUCUUGCAUUCAAAGUAGUAUCCGUUUUUCUCAACCUCCACUCCAGAACCUCCAAUUGCUUCUUAUAUACCACUUCUCGGUCAAGGGUUCGGAUCUUUACCGAUUUAUAAAACCUGGAAUGGUAAUAAUGAGUUCUGCAAACUCCCAUAUGGGUGGGUUGUGUUAAAACCGGGCCGGGUAUAGAAGGCCACCGAGAUACGGGCCAUUCUGUAGAGAGAUACUCUAUUUAUUCAUAUUUAUUUUUAAAAGAGUUCAGUUGCAUAAAAAAAAAAUUUUGACAUGCAAGAUAAGACUAGAGAUGGACGUGAGCCGAGUCGUAAUCGAGUAGCUCGCGAGUAGCUCGGUCAACAGUUUGACUUGAACUCGAGUUGACCGAGUUCGAGCCAAGUCUCGAGUUACUAGAUUGUCAUUUAAGUCGAGUUUCAAGCCAAUAUUCUGAGACUCGAGGCUUGUCGAGCUAGUCGUCGAGCCUGAAUAUUUAAAUAAUAUAUAUUAUAAUUUAAAUAAUAUAUAUUAUAAUUAUAAAAUGACCAUUAUGGAUAUAAAUUUUACGGAAUUUACAUUCAAAUCAAGUAAAAAAAUUUGAUUAGACUUGACUUGAUAAGACUCGACUGACUAAAAGUCGAGCCUUAUCAAGUCGAGUCUCAUGUUUAAAACGAGUUCUUCGAGUCAAGCUUCGAGUAUCAAUUUUUUGUACUAGGUCGAGCUCGAGCUCAUAUAUAUGAGUCGAGUCGAGUCGAGCUCGAAUAUAGCAAUACUCGAGCUUAAUUUGACUCGAUUACAUCCCUAGAUAAGACUACCAUCUAAGGAGGAUAAUUCAUAUUGUAACAAUUUUUUUUUUACAUGCAAGAUAAGACUACCACCUAAGGAGGGAUAAUUCAUAUUGUAACAAUUUUUAAAAGGUUUCAUCCAUGAGAGUGUUUGGAUAGCUAAAAUUUUCUACAUAAUAUUUUAUUUGUAUUAUAAACACAUUUCUCAACCUAUUUUUUUUUUUAUAUUUUCAACUACCUUUUAUUUUGUAUACAUCACAUUAAAAAAUUUUUUAUAAUUUUAACUACAUUUUUAUUUUACAUAUAUUACAUCAGAAAAAGUUCAAUAGUAAUUAUUUCAAAUAAUACUAGUCUAUCCAAUCUAAAUUACGGCAUUGAAACGGUUCAUAAGAUUCACUUGUAUCGUAGGAUAUACUCGUGUGGCUAUUGGAUGUUACAAUUCAUUGCAACAUAAAAUUAAUGAAAAGAUUGCUUCUCUUUCUUUAAGCAGUAAGCAUGAUGACUCAGGGACAAGUAGAAAGCGACCCAGUAGUCUAUUUUCUCCGUUUGGUCAUCGUCUCGUUUUGCUCUGCAGACUUUCCGGGUGCCUUGAGCUCACUCGCAAACACUCAUCCCCGGCACCAUCGAGUGGUGGAUUCAUUCACAAAAUAGACAAAACCUCUGUUAAUCACCUUGUUAUCACCAUCCACCAAGCAUGAGCGGUGGCAAUUGAAACAUGCAACAAGUUGAUAAAACCAGAUCAGAAUUGUAAAGGGAAAAUUAACAUUACAGACAUCAUAAUCUCAGCUGCUAAAAGGACCAGAAAGAGGCCCAUGUCCGUUUCAAAGGCAAACUGCAUUUUUCCAUCAGCACGAGUAAACUGUAUCUAGCUUUUCCUCAUCCUCUUUUUGAGCAUGAACAAGCUACAUAUUGUUUGCGUGCCUUCCAAUUUCCAAGCACUCUGAGACUGAGCAGCCUCGACAGGCCCAAGGUUAACCACGUCAAAUGAUCCCAAGCAGAGGCAUUACCUAUCAAUAAGGAAAAGGAUGCUAUAAAGCCAGGUAUAAACUUUAAGUGGUCAAUGAUGCACAAAAGCAGAAAAAGAUGAAUGCUGAUUUUGUUAAACUGUUAAUAUUUUUUGCACCUAAAACAAACGAUUUCCAAGUACUGGGCCAUGAGGCAAAGGAUGCCAGCUAUAUGAUUGUCAAUGUACAUAUCAGAAAGAGCUGGAUUACAAAUUACCUUUUACUCACAACAUCGUGAUAAGAGAACGCCAAGGAAUCUACUGCUCCUGCUCCCACCCACCAAGUCUUGCCCCAGGAUCAUAGUUGGUGAACAAUCGAAACUCAUUGCCAAGUUUGCUGGAAUGCUGAGGUCGAAAACCACAAGGAUGUAAACCUAGAAGCGCUGCAGCGUUAUCUUUCUGCACCUCACCUAAGUUAGUUGCAGGAAAGCAUGAUGAAUAAAUUUCAGCACUUAAGUGUCAUUAUUACUAUGUUGUUGUUUUACAUAAGAUAGUCAAACAUGAAGAUCCUGCAAAGAAAAAGGCUUUUGAAAUUAAGCUUGUCUACACAUAUUUUUGCAUAAUACUUUACCAUUUGACAUUAGCAACUGAAGAAAUGGUCAUAAAGACAAUCAAAUGACAAAUGAGCAAAAGCAAUAUAGACUGAAUAGAAGAGGAAGGAAUUUCCACAACAUGGCAGAAAGCAAUAAGCAUUUUGAACAAAAUUUGAUCUUUACCAGUGAGUAAUAGCAGAAAGGAUUUUCCGGGUCUCAAGAGGAAAGAAAUUGUUUGAGUAACUUUCUCCAAGCAUUCCUUGCUCUGGCAAGAACAUCAACAUUCAAAUUAGGUAAUAAGUACAUAUUGGAAAUAUUCCGGCUUCAAGUCAAUCACACAAUGAGAAUUUGCCAAGACAAUUCUGGGAAGAUACAAUUAUACUCCAACAGAGGGUAAUAUAACUCAUUGGAUGACAAAAUCCUUGUCAUUUACAAUUCAUCAACCAAACAUUUCAUUAUAGUUCAUGCCAUGUAGCAUGAACAUCAGUAAAGACGGAAAAUAAAUUACUCAUCUUGUCCAAUUUUGUGAUCAGUUUUGCAUUCAUAAACUUAACCAACAAACAGAAAUCUAGGUCAUUUGUCUAUCUGAGAUGCGUACAAACAGCUAAACAAGAAGAAUCGAAGUGCAAAGCAAGCAUAUACAUUGCUGUCGAGACAAGCAAUAGUGCAGGCAUGAUCUUCUUAACUCUUACCAAGUAAGGAGGAUCAGCAACUACUAUUGGAAAUGAAUGGUUCAAUGAUGCCGGUAUAUCUUCAGGCUGAUUGUAGUCGUAAAAUGUGAAUUCGCUUCCGUACUGCUCAAAUCGUUUGUCAUACUCAAGAAGUUGAGCAGGUACUCCAGAAUUAAUUUUCUAAAUCCAAUGAAUGAACAGUUACCAGCUAGCAUGAAUGAAGCAGUUAAAAAAGCUGAGAAGACAGGUAAGAGAUGAGAUAGUUUUAUAUACUUAUGUUCAUUGCUAGAGCAAGUGCUGCCUAAAAUAAACAGUCGUGUACGCCACCUGGCAUCUCAAGUCAUCCUUAGUAAAUUACAAUAUACCUUGAGGUAUGCAUAAAGAGUGGGGCAAGCAACGCAGGCAACCGAAGGGGAAUCAAAGGAGUGACAGAGAGUUAGAACUUCUUUGGCUACUGUGUCAGCAGUCUCCCUGUCAUACCAGAACUGGCUGAGCCGCCAGUCUUCUGUCACCAGCGCCACCUCUUCCUCCUCCACCUCUGCUGAAGAUUCCUGGGUGGUAGAGUGAUUCUGCUCGGCCAGGAACUCUUUGAGUGCUUCAAUAGCAUAGGUACUCAGCAUUGGAGCAUCAUCAUCCUCAAUAAUGUCAUUUUGUGGAAUAAUAGGCUCUUCUAGGUGACCUGCGGAGUGACUGGCUUUGGACUCCAUUUUAAUUGCCAGCCUCGUAAUAAGAGCUUAUUGCUUCAAAUAAUGAGUUUGUGGUCUUAUUCUGCUAGCAACCAGCUCGAGUCUACAAGCAGCAACAAAAUAGGAUGGCAAAGACUAGAUCUCCCAAUAUGCUCCUGUACACAGAAGAAAGGAAGGGAGAAAUGAGCCGCAUAUGAGCUCCAUUGCUGAAUUAACAUUUAAGAUCGUUUAGAUCUUCAAACAUAGAAGAAGGAUCGGAAAACCCCAAUUACUACAAGUCCAGAUGGGUAAAUUUGGAAGCAAUGUAACAGCAUGAAUUGAAGUAAUCUAGAAUCUUGAGUUAGAAAAAAUCCAGAAGCUAAGCUCAACAUUGGGUUUGCAGCAUAUAAGUUAGAAAGAUAAAAACUCAUCCUACUUGAACUAGUUCAAAAGAACAGAGAGGUUCUGGUAUUAAAUUUGUGCUUUCCACCAAAUUCAACAGUACACUACCUCAAAUCUCAAUCCAUAUGGUAUUAUAUAGCUUCUUCUUUGACACAAUGCGGUCCAAUCAUCUAAACCUCAAAACUCUCAUUUAAGCCCAAUGAAGCUAAAAAGGUACAAAUUCGGGGCCCACUAAAUGGAGGGAAAAAAUAAAUAGAAGUAAAACUAAAAGAAAAGCAUAAAUUAAACGCUUACUUUCAUCCAGGAAAAAAAAAAAAAGAAACAUAAUUCCCAACAAAUGCAGAGAUACAAAUGAUUAAGCAUGAACAUCAUUCUCCCUCGUCAGUACAAUCUGAGAGAAAAUGAAAUUCCCAAAACAACCUAAUUAGUAGAAGCUGAUUUGGGAGUAGCUAUAGUACCUUUUUCCAGAAAAGUUAUUGAAAAAAGGCCGAAGUUGAUCGGAGGGUUUGUGCAACCUUGCUUCUCUAGGGUGCCUACAGUGAGCAGAGGGCGGAGGCGGCGGGGUGUAGGGAAGACGAACGAAAAAAAGAUGCUAGUACAAUACUACUCCAAUAGAUGUUCUAGUAUUUUGCUGUAAAAUCCUGGAAACAAUCAGGGCAAAACUGGUGCUGGAUUGGCAGCGUUACUCCUCCGCAUUACCAUAAUCAGGCUUGCAAGUAAAGUAGUAGCAUCAGUCCUAGCCUCCUAGGGAAGGCAACGGCGGCAGGCACCCGCGGUCACCCGUCCCGCGGGGGUACAAAUGGAGCACGGGGCAAAAUAUUUACCUCCGCUUUAAAACGGGGCGGGGAUGAGGCCAUCCCUCGCAUAAAAUAUAUAUAUAUAAAUAUACAAAAAUAACAAAAUUUCUAACUGUUCAAGGUAUUUUUAGUUAGUGUUUGAGAAUUCUUCUUCUUUUCUAUUAAUUCUAAAAAAUGCUUGGACAUACGAGGAGAGUUUUGCUUUUCGUAUAGGGUUGCUUCUGAUUUUUUUUUGCUUCAUGUACUAGGCUUUUGUGUGCAUAAAUUUCUGAGUUGUUCAAUCCUUUUAAAUAGCCAUGGAUAUAACUUAUUAUAGUGGUGGUCAUCUUUAACUAAUUAGUCAGGAGACCUGUAAAUGCUAUUACUUAAUGGAAAAAACUCUAUAUUAUUAUAAAGCUAUGUUGUGGCUUUAGAUAUGAAUUUCUGGCAUCUUAUGUACUAAUAUUCGUUUUACGGCAAUUAAAUGGUUUAAGAUUUUAGUAUUAAAAAAAAAAGAUAGCCAUGGAUAUAUGUAUAAUGCUGAAAUAACUCCAAAUGAUAUAUUUCGGUCAGGAGAUGGGUUGGUAACUGAAAAGUCAGAUAUACAUAGAGGGGCAAUCAAGUGCAAUCUAAUAAAAAAUUCAGUGAAUUAUUGUAAAUGGACAUUUUAUGAUAAGUUGAUUUCUUUUCUUGCAUAGGACCGCGGGGGAAAUGAGGCGGGAGCGGAGCGGGGGACGGGGGGGCAAGGUGCGAAGGAUGGGGCGGGGAACGAGGAGAGUUAUUUGACAAUGGGGCAGGGGAUGGGGGAAGAAACCCCUGCCUCACCCCCUCCCCAUUGCCAUCCCUAAUCAGUCCUGGCAUACUAUCCUUUUGUAUUUGUCGAAAAUUAUAGCACUAUUUCUUUUUGGCCAAAUUUCAGUAAACCUUUAACGUUCAGUUCAUGUUUGGGCAUUUUAAAAAUAAAAAAAAAAUCAAUGAAUUUCCAAGAAUACCCUUAUUUUUACCAAUUAAAACGUUUGGUGAGGAGGAAAAUUAAAAAAGGAAAAAAAUUCUAUUGUAUAUUCUCAGGAUUAUACAUUAUGCAACACAAUAUAUAAAUUAAGGAUGAGGAAUGAGUCGAAGAGAUAGUGUAGAUGAGAGGUUUCAGAUUUGAAAUCCUUUACUUACAUUUUAAAAAAAUAUUUUAAAAAAUAAAAAAAAUGGUAUAUAAACCAUUGCAUCUAUAGAAACACAAUUGAUGCCUUCAGAAUCUUUUUUGUUUAGUGUUAAUAAAAAACAGAAUGAGAAGAUUGUCUACCAGCAAGAGAUUCAUCUUUCUUCUUUCUUCCUUGUAAAAAAUACUAAUAUCUUGAUUGAUGUCAGGAUCUAAAUUCUCAAUUAACUCGGUUCAAUCAUUCCUUCGUGAAAAAAAAAAAAAGGUCAGUUCAAUCAUCAAAGUCGCCAUCAAAGUCGCGCUUACAUUUUGGGCUUUUUUUUAAAAAAAAAAUUUUUGCCUGCCACUUCCCAGUUUCGUUUGGAGAUCAAUCAUACAUCUUGCGGGCAAAGACUAGACAGGUAACCCAACCAAUAAAUGCUCGAAAUUAUAAGUAGAAAGUUCUAAACUCAAAAUAUUUCACUUUAAAAUAAAAAUUGUGAUAUCCAUUUACUGUGCGUGCAGUAAAGAACAUCAUAUACAGUUGCCUGAUUUUCUACAGCAUAAAGAGGCAGAUUGGAUUGUACAACAUAUUGUCCCUUAGAUUGCUUGUUAUCAUUAGGCCGAUUUAUCCGUUAACUCUCGUGCUUGUUCUAAUUGUGUGGGUGCGCGUGUUUCUUACUGUUGCAGUAAAAAAAGAGACAGAUUGGAUUGAGUCAAUGAAAUUCCAAAUUAUUUGCAGUGGAAAAAAUCUGAGUACGUUAAAAAAUCCAAAUUUGUUGCAAAGUAGUAGUAUUUUAUUCAUCUCCCAAGUUGGCCAGCUGCUGCUCAACUAAAAAGAGAGGAUGUUCCGCAGUGUACUACUACUACUACUACAGUAAAAUUUUGUCAAGAUAUAUCGCACUGUGCAUGUACCAGGAUUCAUUUUCCAUCGGGGUUAGUCGUUUUCUUUCUACCACCAUAACCCAUUCCAUCAAGAACGUGCGGAGUCACCGUUGAAUUAAUCGUGUGGUUACACCCAACAAUUUGACCCACUCAACGGGGCCGCAGCCUCCAGGGUGGACGUAUUGUAACCCACAGAAUUAUAACCAUCCCCAUAAUAUCAAUAUAUAUAUAUAUAUACACGACAACAAGAAGAAUAUCUGUAUAUACGGCUAACCCCUGUCGUAGAGUUGAUAUAUGUGUACUAACUGCUAGGGAAUAAUGUGGAACCUCUAGUAUAGUAUAGGGAUCCCAAUAAUUAAUUAAUUGACUAAUCGAACGUCGCUGCCACAUCAACCUCAUGCAUCAUACUAUACUCUUUAUUCUCAAAAAAAAAAAAAAAAAAAAACUUAAAAAGCAUGAGCAUCGCAGGUUUUCGCGCACGACAAUUCCCGAUCUCAUAUCUUAUACUAUGCAGCUUUACUCGUCAAACUCGGUGAUCAUGGGGUUUUCAGACGAAAAAAAAAAAAACUUGAUAAUCAUGGGAUUGACUAAUUAAUUGCCAAAGGAAGAUUAUUGAAUGGAGUAAUGCUUUUAUAAUCACCAUCAAUGUAUCUGCAUGACUCGGCCUUCAGGCCUAGCAGAUUCAGACCGACAAAAAUAUGUACGUAUUUAAAAGAAAACUGCGUAUUAGCUGACGAUUACUAUCAUGCUGAGAAGUAAUUAAUUUACUUUUGGUCCCAACCAUAAAUUAAACGACAGGCAUCGUCAUUCAAUCAAUAAUUUCUUCUUCCUCUGUCACUCUCACUAAUUGUGAAUUCUCUGCAGGCCAUCUGGGCAGAUAUAGCAGCCAGCUAGGUCGCGAUCAUGGCUCCUAGAAUUCCCUUCUUCAGCUCUUCUUUUGUGCAUCGUCGCCUUAAAGAUUCAGGCCCGAGCUUGUUUUUCUUCGUUCCAACAUGCUUAGCUUUUACAACUUGUGUUUUUAUUUUCUUUUACAUAAGUUCUACGUCAAAUAUACUGAGUAUCCACCUAAACGAAACUCAUCUGCACGUCAGGCCUCCAAUACAACUCUCCUCUAUUUCUUCACCCCCAAGCACUUCCUCCUCCCGGCCGGUUACGAUCAAGAUUCCACAUCAACAAGGGCAGCCGCUCGAUGCUCCUAGACUCCACUUUUUGGAGCCGGCCCAAGUGCUACUUGGUGAUGAGACGACGUCCUAUAUGUUAGUCAACGACAGUGAUUCACAAGAAGCCGCCAAUACUAGCCUUCCAGCUGAUGAUCAGUUGGCCAAAGCAACUGAAGCUUCAUCUUUGUCUGCGAAUGACGAGGAUGAAGCUCCUGAUCAGGAGGAUCAAAAUGAUCCGUUGCCUGAGCCUGAGGAGAUACGUCAACAAGGAAGACAUGAAGGUAUAUCCCCAUCCUUUUCUUCUCGUCGUUAUAUCUUUUAUUAAUUUGUUAUUUAUAUUUGUCUUUUGUGGUUCAACAUUCCUUUUAUUUUUCAUUAAGGUUAGCUAUAUAUAUACAAUUAGAUGCCGGUGGUCCAAAAAUGGGAUUUCGAUGGUGCUUUGCCUUUUUACAUUCAUUUUUCAACCAAAAACAAAAUAAAGUAUGUAAAAAGGCAAAGCACCAUCGAGAUCCCAUUUUUGAAAAAGAAUGCCUUUUUACAUACUGAUAUGAUAUCUGCUUGGGCAAAAUGGAGCCAAUAAUAAUGUACGUACGUAGUUCUCAACCCACAAAACAGAGAUGCAGUUUUCAUGGCAAAGAAUCACUUUUUCAAAUUAACAUGAGAUGUUUUUAGAGUACGACGUCUGGAUUAAAUUGUGUGCGUCGCUUUGAAAUCAUGGUACGUACGUUGCACGGUCCUUUUAUGAUCAAGAUGAUAAAAACAGUAGCUCACCAUGACGAAGUAAAUUGAUUAUCGAAUAGGAGUAUGACCAGGCAAACGAAAAAGAAGCUCAUCAUGACUUUUACCGCCUGAGAGUUGUAGCAGAAACCAAUAAGCCUGCGGUUGUUCCCGGGUCUGCGUCAGAUGAAGAAUCUUCAUUCAAGUUUUUGAAAUGUUGUUUGACAAGUCUGAAAGAGAAAGGGGGACGGCGGGGAUAAGGUCUAGAAAAAUACAUUUAGGAAUGGGAUAAUUUCAGAAACCUCCCCUGAGGUUUCCAUUAAUUACACAUAGCUCCCCUCAAAUAUUCAAAAUUACAUAUACUACCCUUACGUUUACUAUUUAGGUAACCAUGUAGGCCCAAUAACCUAGAUUCUUUUUCAAUAAUCCCAAACUACCCUUCUAUUAAAAUUGUGAAAACAAAAAGGAAACAUAAUUUAGUCAUCACCUUUCACCUAUACACUUUUGCAACCAAUCAAGCAUUCCUAACUCAAUCCCUCUCUACAGUAUGACAGAGUCCCAAAUUCACUCCAACUCAGUCCCCAAAAUUUGGGCAGUCACAAAAUCCUCAACCUCUGCUCAAAUGCUUUCAGUGCAAAUCAAUUACAACAGUCACCUCAAAUACCCAAAUGUUUCUACAAUUCAUCUAUUUCAUUCCUUGCCCAAAAUUAACCAAUCUCAAAUUCCAAACUGCAAUCGCAUUGGCUAUCAUCUUGCCAAACAUAAAACAAUAUCCUAACCUACGACCACCAAUACCAAAGAGCAAUGCUUUUACUUACCAAAGCAUAUAAUUUAGUAAUACUCCAUCAACAUCUAGGGAUCUAGACCAACUUCGAUAUCCAUAGCAAACUGUUAUCAACUAUUGCAAAUCAAUUAAAGAAACCCAAAUGCAGCUGUUAAUAUACAAGAAAAUUUAUUUUUAUGGAAGGCAAAAUUGUAUACCCCUCAUCUAGACCUCUUCCCCUUCCAACCAUCAGUUUCUUUUUUUUUUCUUUUAAAUCUAUCACUAGUAUCCUCUUCGUCUCUAUCUAUUUCGACAAUAAAAUCUACUCACCUCAAUUUAUUAUUUGGCAAUUUCAAGUCAUUAGCAUCAGCAAAGCAUAAGAAAAGUUGAAAAAUCAAAAGGUUCUAAUUACCGAGAAUGAGAGAGGCGGACAUAGCUUUGCUAUCAUUAUGGUUGGUGGGAGCAGGUUAUGUUGAAAAAUGAGAAAAGAGAUAGGACUUAAGAUAAAUGAGAGAAACGGGGAACUAUAAGUAGUUGGUGAAUCUGUGGUAAGAUGGGUAGCGGUGACAAUUUUUUUUUUUCAUUUCACUAUUUUGUUUCAACGCAUGGUAUAGAUUGUCUAUUUAAUCAAGGACAUUUUUGUCAUUUCACUGCAUCAAGGGAGGUUGGUGUAAUUUUCUAAACCUGAGGGGAGCUGUGUGAAAAUGCAAGUAACCUCAGGGGAGGUUUCUGAAACUAUCCCUUUAGGAAAAUGGAAACGUGAAUUCAUUUUGUCUUGCUGGCCCAAUACGUACCCUAUGUCGUAUUGACUAAUUCAAGUUCCUAAACGCCAGAAGUUACUCAAUUGACCAACAAAUUUCCCAAAAAAAAAAAAGAAAAAUAUUUGUGUCCAACUACCGUCUUUGUUUUUUUUUUUUUUUUUAAAUACACGCAAGAAUACAAUCCUGUCUAUAAUACUAUGCCGGCUGUUGUAAUUAAUAAUUAAUUUGGCGCUCUCAAAGAAUAUUGGGAUGCAAAAGCUUAUUUGGCUGAGGAUAAUAAUUAAGCCAGACCGGAUGGCAGUGCAUGGAUUUCUAACAUGGAUGUAGCAUUCGACAUGGAUACUAGGUUAUGGCGGAUCGAGUUUAUUUUAUAUUUACCUUAAAAUGUUUCACACCUCAAAUCAAUGCAUUUCUUCAAGGAAAAAGCCAUCGACGAAUCGAUGCUUGUUUGCUUGCAUGGUUCAGGAAAUAACGUGGAUGGAUUCGACGUAUUCCAUGACAAAGCUCUCUUCCAGCAAGAAUACAAAGAAAUGAACAAAAGCUUGAAGAUUUUUGUUUACCCUCACAAGCGAAACGAUCCUUUUGCAAACGUGCUGCUACCGGUAAAUGACGAACCGGGAGGCAACUAUGCUAGUGAAAGUUACUUCAAGAAGGCCUUAUUCAAGAGCCAUUUUAUCACGGAAAAUCCUUUGGAAGCUGAUCUGUUUUACCUCCCAUUUUCCAUUGCAAGUCUGAGGCAUGACAAGAGAGUUGGCGUGGGUGGAAUACAGGGUUUUGUCAGAGAUUAUAUUCGAGAUAUCAGCAAGAACUACCCAUAUUGGAAUAGAACAGGCGGGGCUGAUCAUUUUUACGUGGCAUGCCAUUCUGUUGGGAGAUCUGCAAUGGAGAAGGCAACUGAAGUUAAAUUGAAUGCCAUACAAGUCGUGUGCUCCUCUAGCUACUUCCUUCCUGGUUAUGUUGCUCACAAAGAUGCAUCCGUACCCCAGAUUUGGCCUAGGAAAGGAAACCCCCCUAUUCGACCACCGUCAAAAAGGUACUCAUCAUUAAUUAAAGUAUCAAUCUCAAUCAAUUAUUUUCCCUCUCAGGAUUAGCAUCAUGUUAUCGCCUUUUAGAUUUCUUAGUCACUUCAUCUCAAUUGUUGGCAGUUUCUUGGGUAAGCGUGCUUGCUAUGAUUGAUAAAAAGAAAAAAAAAAUCAGCGGAUGUAGGUCUCUUUUAUUAUCAAAAGCCUAAACACAGAUUACAAGCCAGAAACUGGACAUGGAAAAAGAAAUGGUUUUCAUUAAUUAGUCUGUAGUACUAUAAUGCUAUCUAGUCAUGAUGUCGAUGUUAAAGAAACAAAUUUCUCUGUCCAAUUAGUAUUUGGCAUUUGGGGUAUCGUUUCUCUGAUUUUCCCUUUCUUCUCGCUAAUGUUUUAACUGAUACCUACGUAGUUAAUCCAUGCUAGCCUCUCUUAUAUGUGGUAGCUCUUAAAUAGUCACCCCAUUAUCUCUUUUCUUUUCUUUUUUUUCCUGUUCCCUUAGUUCCCAGUACAGAAAUUGGCCAUGCAUCUUGAUUUUCGUGCGAAAUGGAACCUAAUAAUCUUCGAAUAUAUUGGCUGGCAUCUUCAUCAGGGAAAAACUUGCCUUUUUUGCCGGAGCAAUGAACUCCCGGGUACGCGAGUUCCUAGUGCAAGUGUGGAAAAACGACGCCGAAAUCUCAGUCCACCGAAGCAGGCUAAAAACGCCGUACUCAGAAGCACUUCUGGGGAGCAAAUUCUGCAUCCAUGCAAAAGGCUUCGAAGUCAAUACAGCUCGAAUUGGUGAUGCUCUAUAUUACGGUUGUGUCCCUGUUAUCUUGGCCGAUCACUAUGAUCUCCCAUUUGCGGAUAUAAUAAACUGGAACAGCUUUUCAGUGGUCAUGUCCACCGUGGAUAUCCCAAUUCUGAAGAAAGUACUUCUGCAAGAAAUAAACUCCAGUAAUUACUUGAAGUUACAAAGCAGCGUAAUGGAAGUGCAGAAACACUUCCAAUGGCAUGAUGUCCCCGUUGACUAUGAUGCAUUCCACAUGGUCAUGUUUGAGUUAUGGCUGCGCAGGAGUCAUCUGAGUCUUGCAAUUAAUUAGUGGCUAGCUGUAAGUCUAGUUAGUGAUCGUAGAAUUGAGAGUUUUAUCUUUACUUUUACAGUCAGAGUAAACUAGGGUUUUUGCGUAUUUUGGGAGCGUGUUUAAUUGGUGAGGUGUGUGUACUAAAUUUGGUGGGUUUUAGAUAAGAGGAAGUGUGUGAUUAGAAGUGCUAUUAAUAAGCUAGCGAAUCAUAAGUUAAAACACAAGUACGAGCGGGUCACACAUACACCACCGUAGUUAUACUAGCAGUUGAUUGAGGAGGAUAAAAUUGUUCUUCGAUGGGGGAGUUCGCUACUUCUUUUCAUGUAUAGUACAGAAAUACAAGCUGUAUAUUCAUCCAUUUGUUUUAAAUAAUGCAAGUUAAUUAUUGAUGAAACAAUGAUCCGCGAUGGGCAGAUUAAUGUACUUUGAAACAAUAAAUCACGUUUGAAUAGCGGGACAAUAAAUAAUUUGCUUGGCUACCCAGUGCCUAUUGGACACCACUUGAGAUCCUCGGUGACAUGUUUUCUAUGCCAACCCAAUGCCACCAAUAGUGUUGUGCCAAGUGUCUUGUUAUUAUUUACACUUUAAUUUUCUAAUAAUUCAACUUGGCUUGGUUUAAUACAAGUUUAAAUAAUAACAUGACACUUGGCACAACACUAUUAAUGGCAUUGGAUUGGCAUAGAAAACAUAUCACCGAGGAUCCCAAGUGAUUGGACACUAGAUAAGCGGGAGUUUAGGUAUUGGUUUCUUGAAAAAGUGUAGUUAAUUUGGGAAAGUUUUACAAUUCUUGGGGUGCAAUAAGUAUAAGUGUGUACUUUUAUAUAUAGUAACUUAGGUGUGAUUCAGGUGUCUUAAUGAGUGCUUAGGAAAAAUAAUCCAUAAAUGAUAGGCAAGUGCCUAGUGCCCACUCGUUAGUUAAGCUGUAGUUUAGGUCUUAAAUAUAACUGUAUAAAUGCAAGAAACAAUAACGAUUGUUAAUAAAUAUAUUCAUCUAGUAAGUUGUGUGUGAUUUAAUGUAACGAGUGCCCAUUCAGCCCAGUUUAAAAAACUGUUUACGUAUGCCUCAUGAAUAGGAAAUCACUACAUAAUUAGCCCUCAAUUAAUCUUGAAGAUUAAUUACUGGAAUGGGGAGUUGGAAACGGAAGUAGCAAUACAGGUAUUUGGCACUAUGUCUUAACAUGUCCAUUGGGCCAGCAGUUCCCCUCCCUUGCCUAACCGUAUAAUUUUUUUUUUUAAAUUUAGGAAUAUUCCAACCUUUUUGUCGGACUAAUCCCUUAAAGAUUGUGUAGAGUCUUACCUCAAAAAUAUAUAGCGAAGAAUAUACAAGUCGGUCACGGACCUGUUUAUAACUAUUAGGUUAUGGAACCUAUCGAAUUACUGGCGGGGCUUGCCUAAUCGUAUAAUUGUUUGCUCCAAAAUUGCAACAAGAAAAUCUGAUCAGAAUUGGAGAAUCGGCAUACACGAUAUAACAUGUCCAUUGGGCCAGAAUUUCUCUGCUAAAAGACUAUGGUACAAAUACUCCUAUAGACUGCAAUUGCAUACAUGGGUGUGAUCUUUUCCCUUGAGCAAAAUUUUAUGCAAUUGUUCCGACAAAGAAACUGGUGGGAAUUCCCACCACUUCAUGGAAUUUGGCAACAUGUUUUAACAACACCAACUACCUCAUUAAAGGCACAAUUCUCGUUCUUAAAUGGAAAAUAAAUGUACAAAAGAAAGAGCUUUCGAUUGCUACUCAGUUUUGACUGUAGCAUCCCUCUUUCUCUCAUUUCGAACCUUUGGGGGAAGAAAUUAAGACCAACUAACCCUGUCCGCGAAUUCCUUAUGGCUUCUUCCGUUUUCUUGUACGCUAUCAUCUGCUGUAAUCGUACUAAUUUACUCUCACCCAAGGCCAUUUUCUGCAUACCCACAUUAUUAGCCUUAUUCACCACUACUUGUAUUCUCUUCUAUAUCUGCUCCACUUCCAAUUAUCUCUUGGUUUUUCCAUCUCAAACCCAUGUUCGUGUCAAACAAUCUUCAGCAACUGGGAUGCUCUCUAUCUCAAGCUCAACUUCUCGGAAUCAAAGACAGACCAAGUUAUCCGCACCUGGGGCAUUUUCCAACUCAACAGGAGUUACAGGACUGGUCAACUUAUCUGUUGUCGGGCUUCCAACCCCAUUUGAGUACCGGAAAAUUUCUCAUUUUGCCGUGGAUGAUGCUCUGGAAAAUACUAGGCUAGGGAAAUCCGAAAUGAUAUCAAGUGGUGAGUAAAGUGAUGAUUUUUUUUUUUUUUUUUUGGAUUAAAAAGUUUACUAUUUGAAUUGUGGCUUGUGGGCUUAAGGACUUUUCUCUAGUUUGUUUCUUUUGCUGGAUACGAAGUUAAAAGGAAAAAACUUAUGGAUAGUUUUGCCAUAUGAAUUUUGUCAGGUUUUGUUGAUUUUGAAGCAUAAAGAAAUAUUGAACUAUUUAUUCCCUUUCCAGAUGUACAGAAGAAACAGAGCAAACCGGAAGAGCAACUUCUAAAUAAGAAUAAAGAUGCUAUGCAAAAGAAAUCAUCUCAAGUUAUUUAUCGCUGCUCCAAUUAUAUAAUCUCAAAUUGAGUGAGUUUUCUUGAGAAAUAUGGAGAGGAAGAAAUAAAGGAGAGGACAUGAUUGAAAUGAGGACGCUUGGAUAAGAUGAGGCGACCAAUAAUGGGGAGAGAGUUAGGCAAGGAACAACCUGAAGGUGGGCUCUGCUCUACACUGUCUGAGUUGGGAAAAAAAAAGGUGCUCAGAGAGAGAGAGAGAGAGAGAGAGAGAGAGUUUCUAUAAGGGUUUGAUUGAAAAUAUGGCCCCAAAAUGUUCAUUGUGUAAUGUUUUUUGGGCUGUUACAUUUGAUUUCUAUCAUAGGGAAGUUUAAGGAUGAGCUCUAGUUUGAUACUAUUGCCUAAGCAAUUGCAAUAUGGGUAGGGGGGAAAGGGGAACUUCUAGCAAUAUAUCAUCUUUAGAGGUGAUGAAUUUUAGUCCAUUAUUACAAUGGAGUAGACCCUGCUAUGAUUUUAUAUUUUCCACGAUAUGAGAAACAGACACAAGCCCAUUGGUAUCUGUAAACGUUGUAUGAUUUAUCUUGUUGAAUACAAUUUUGAUAUCACAGACAAAAAGAGCCCUGGUAGAUUUCUAGUAUACUUCUCUUUGAUCUUGUGUCUUAUGCUGAAACCAUCGAUAGUAGAGAUUUUUUUUUUCUAUUGUGUUAUAAUGAAAAAAGAGAACCAAAAUAAGAAAUUGCAACAAGCAAACAAAGUUCCAUGGGGUAAGAGAGGAUGAUUAUGACAAAAAUGGUGUACAGCCAUAAAAUUUACCAAGGUCUGUUGACUCUUGCUAAGUUUUGUGCAAUAAUUAGUUCUUAACGUGAACACGUGGAAAUCUUGGUUUUAUGUUCAGGAAACUAUGUGAAUAACGAGGUGUUCCAUGACAGAGAUUUCUUUGUGGGGAACUAUGGGCAAAUGAACAGGAGUUUGAAGAUAUACGUCUAUUCUCACAGAAGUGACGAUCCUUUUGCUAAUAUCCUGUUGCCUGUGAAUUUUGAACCUGGGGGUAAUUAUGCCAGUGAGAGCUAUUUCAAGAAGGUUCUUAUGAUCAGCCAUUUCAUUACAAAGGAUCCUUCCAAAGCUGAUCUCUUUUUUCUGCCCUUCUCGAUUGCAAGAUUGAGGCAUGAUCCAAGAGUUGGGAUUCGUGGCAUCCAAGACUUCAUCAGAAACUAUAUAUCUAACAUCAGUCAUGAGUACCCUUACUGGAAUCGAAGUGGAGGUGCUGACCAUUUUUAUGUUGCUUGUCAUUCUGUUGGACGGUCUGCCAUGGAGAAAACGAUUGAAGUUAAGCUCAAUGCCAUCCAAGUUGUAUGCUCUUCCAGCUACUACGUAUCAGCUUAUGUUCCCCACAAAGAUGCAUCCUUGCCGCAGAUUUGGCCAAGGCAAGGCGAUAAUCCUGAUCUUGCAUCAUAUGAAAGGUGAGCAAAACAUUUAAUUACCUUAGUUCAUUUCAGUGGAUGUGUUUCAGUAGAGUUAUCCUGGCUUUAUUUCUAGUGUCUGAUAUCUGGAGAUCUUGACGUAUACAGGCAUGAUAAUCUCCGAAGUGUAAAUUUGCCAAAUAAACCUGUUCCAAUAGCCGAGUAGAACUUAGAAUCCAUCUAUACGAAACAAUCACAUAAAGCAUGAAACAAAAGGAAAUUGUAGAUAUUUGAAUUUGUAAGUGUCUGAAAUGAGUUUGCUUAGUGGGAGCUUAUUGUGUUUCUUUGAUAUUUUAUUAUAUGACACAUUUCUUUUGCAAAAGUUUUCAACUGUCAUCAUUCUUCUGGCUUCAUGAAUAAGAAUGAAUUUCAGGAGAACGCUGGUGUUUUUUUCUGGAUCAUUAAACUCCCCUGUGCGGGAAAAUCUUCUUCGAGUAUGGGGAAACGAUACAGAGAUUUCUGUCCACACUGGUCACCUUGAAAAACCUUACACAGAGGAGCUUCUAAGCAGCAAAUUCUGCCUUCAUGUUAAAGGCUUCGAGGUGAACACGGCUCGUAUCAGUGACGCACUAUACUAUGGGUGCGUCCCAGUGAUAAUUGCCAACCAUUAUGAUCUUCCUUUUGCUGACGUACUGAAUUGGAAGAGCUUCUCUGUUGUUGUUGCCACUUUGGAUAUACCAAAACUGAAGAAGAUUCUCCAAGGCAUAAGUACUGAUGAAUAUCUUGUCCUGAAAAACAAUGUCAUCAAUGCUAGAAAACAUUUCCAUUGGCAUCUUCCACCCUUUGAUUAUGAUGCAUUUUACAUGGUCAUGCAUGAGCUAUGGCUCAGACGAAGUUCCUUGAGGGUUUCCGGGUGAUUUUUAGUAAAUGAAGCGGUUAAAUACUUUGUUUUGCAACCGAGUCUGGUUAGUUUAGUUAUCUGGUGCUUGCAGUCCCUUGCUUCUGUUCAUUCACUUGCUUCUGUUCACAUGUAAAGCUAAUCUUCAUUAUAUUCGUCGACUUUGUUAACCUCUAAUCCAUCAAUCCCCAGAAUUGCAAGUACCAAAUCCACAUUACCUUUCUUAGUACCAUUAGAAAAUUGCUUUUUUCUUGAAUUGGAUGGACAUUCUGGAUGGACAAGAGAGGGGUCAAUACUUUAUUUAUGGCUUUCCCUCUUUCAUUGUAAAACUUCAGGAAUCAGCAUUAUACGUGCAGCGCUUUUCUGGUAAUAACUUGGAUCGGAACCAAUUUGAUAUAUUAUAAUAGGGAAAUUAUCUAAGGAAAUGGCACUCCGUCAUUUCAUAAUUAUACUCGGUUAUCUUCUUUUUCACUGAAAGUGAAUAUAUGAUUGAAAAAAAAAAGGUAACGAGUCUUUCAUUAUAAAAAAGAGAGCGCUCUUAACUAUUGUCAUCAUCAAUUGGUGUUAUGUUUUGGUUGAAAUUUGCGGAGAGAACUCUAGUUCACUUCUUUUUUUUUUUUUUUUUUUUUUUUGCAACAAUAACAUUCUUACAACUAAAUCUAUCCUAAUCUAAGUGGAGGGGGAGCCGAUGCGAGUAGAAAUUCCACAUAUAAUGGCAAUUUGAUGAAUCAUUGACCUCCCAACACCGUCAAGACUUGAAUGCUUGCUGUGACCACCUAAUUUACAAGUUGGCAUUUUACUGACGUAUGUUCCUGUCAAAUUGAAAUUAAUUAAUAUAUUACAUAAGAAGCAUGUCAUUUAUCUCUUUUUCUUCUUUUUUGUGUCAAAGAAAAACAAAAUGCUCCUUAUUCAAAAAUGUUUUAAUUAAUUUCACGGGAGCAUUUGGUUUAGAAUAGGGCUGCAAACGAAUCGAACCGCUCGCGAGCGGCUUGAGGCAAGCUUGAGUCGAGUUCGAUAUUAAUCGAACUCGAGCGGGCUCAAGUCAAACUCGAGCUCAGAAUAUUAAGCUCGUUAAGCUCGCGAGCUUGAGUAUAUAUAUAUAUAUAUUUUUUAUUUAAUAAUAAAAUUAUGUAUAUUAUAUAUAUAUAUAUAUUUAUAGUAAAAUUACGUAUAUAUCCUUAAUAUUUUAUUAUUUAUUAAAAAAAUAUUAUUUUAUUUAUUUUUUUAAAAAUAAAAUAAUUAUUUUUUAUUUUUUUCGAGCUCGAGCUCGGCUCGACUUGAUUCGAGUCGAGCUCGAGCUUGAAAAUUGCCAGCUCGUCGAGCUCGAGCUUGAUAAAAUUUAGUCGAAACUCGGCUCGAUUAGCUCAAAACUCGACUCGACUCGACUCGUUUGCAGCCCUAAGUUUAAAUAACCUGGAAGUACGAUAUCCAAUACUAGGAUUUUGGCCUACCGUACACUUUAGGUUUUAAUUAAUUUGAAAUCCAAAUCACAUUGGAGAACAAGUUCUUAGCAAUAAUAGCUAUAUGUGAUAAACUGACGAGUGCCUUUUCCAUGUAAAAUGUCAAUCCAUAGCACGAUAGAUAAGAUAUAUAUAUAUAUAUAUAUAUAUAUAUAUAUAUUGCGUGUCAUGAAUAAAUAUAUAGCUCCAAAUAUUACAGAAACCAGGCUGAUGUAUAUCAAUGGAUCCGUAAAGAAAACAAUUACUCGUCUGAGAUGAAAAUUACACUCAAGAAUGGAGCAGGCAAGCCCAGACUCCAACAGCUCGAGAAUAGAAUAUUAGUAUAAUACAAAAAAUAUGUAUAUAUAUAUCUUUUCCCUCGUAUCUUUAUACAUUUCCCAUAGAGGAGGAGUAGAAAAAUCUAAGCACCCUUGUUGUUGUUCUGCCACGGCUUAAGCACUCCCACGACUAUGAUUGCGACAAUUAUGAGAAGGAUGAGGAUUGCAAUGCACAUCCAUUUCCUGGAAUUCCUUUGCAGUGUCUUCGCUUUUUGAAGGGCCACAUUUCCACUCUGCACAUGGUCUACCGCGUUCGAAACCUGAAAAUUGAUAGGAGACAAAGUCAACGGAUUCAAAUGCAAAGACAACUGUGGUUGACAUCAAAUCCUUCUUGUUGCCCGGAGAAGCAGGGAAAGGAUCUGCAAUCUUACAUGUGUCUCUAUGUUAUCAAGCAAGUCCCCUUGAGCAUCUACUAAAACUGCCAUGUCUAAGAAUAUCUGCACGAGAUUAUUUGCUGAACUAAGGAAUCAAGUCCGAUAAAAAUGAGUUCGCACUAAUUAAGUAAUCAAGCCAAUGUGAUUUUGACUUCGAAAAUUAUAUCAAUAAGACUAACAUGCUCUGUAUUUACAAGUCAAUACUACCUGUUGCAAUUCAAGAAGUUUCCUCUCCAAUUCUCUAACAGCAUCAUGACGUUCUUGAAUUUCUGCUAGCGUGUCCAUGAUCUGCAAGAAAAAAACACAAAGAGCUAAAGCAUGAUUGAUAUGUGUUGUUGCAACAACACCAAGUGCAACAGAGACUUGUUUCUUGUCAAAGAUGCACGACAAAAGCCCGGAGAGGAUAAAUUAAGACCAAUAAUUUCCCCGAUAGAAGCCUUUUACACGUUACACAGUUAUUACCCAAAUAUGUUCCGUGUGCAUCUGAUAUGAAAAUAUUUCAAGAAACACAAGCAGAAUAACAGACAGGCGUAGGAAGGUGAAGAAAUAAGCUACAACAGAAGUGGAGCAAACCUGCCCACGUCCUUGAUCCUGAACUGCUUUCUGGAAGAUUUGUUCGCUAUCCCCAGUCUCUAUAAGUUUAUCGAUAGUCUGAAGAAGUAGGGAAAAGAAUUAAGAUCAGAAAUAUACACAGAGAGAUUCAACAUGGUUCAAAGCACAGAAUAUCAGGCCCUAACCUCUUCGUCUGCUCGAUUUCCAGUAACUGGCAACCAAAACAUGAAAGAGAAAACUAUUUUAGUUAGUUAUAACAUUAUCAGAUUUUGCAGUUGGUUUUCUAUGUACAAUAAGCAAGGGCCAAAAACCUGUAAAUACACGUCUUUCUACGACCUCACGAUGCUCUUGAUGGAUGCUCUCUCUCAAAUUCUGCAAUGAUCAAAGCAUAGUUAAUCUACAAACAAAAGAACAUAAAUGAGAAGAUGUCCUUUGUAACGUCAUCAAUCAGAUCAAGCUACCUGAAACUCAGUCAUCUUGUCUUUGAACUUCUUUUUCAAUGAACUGCAAUCAGAUAAAAUCAUUUUAGACUUAAAAUCUAGUUGAAACUAUCUUACUAUAUGAAGGCUGAUCCCUCUCUACACUCAUCACUAUUUAGCAAAACUUCAUGAGACUAUCAAAAUUAUACAAAUCUCCAUAAUUUGUGGUUUCCAGUAUCAUAGGAUGUGGUAUAAACCAAAUUACCCCUGUUAUAACCGCAAUGAUUCCCUUUUCUCUUUUGUUUCAUUGUGAAUAGUAGGAUAAUUCAGAAUCCCACCAGAAGUUCUUGACCAGGCGAGGAAUUAUGGACUUCAUUAGUGGCAGAAGAUGAUGAUGGUUUGACGUGUCAUGGAAUUUGUAUGCAGUUCAUCAUAAUUUCAGAAACCAUGAUGGAAGGCUUUGUAGCAGUGGCAAACCUUAGGUGUGUCAGUGUAAUUUGCACAGCAAUUUAUAUACCCAAGUGCAAAUUAGAAUGAGAAUGCAGAAAAGAAUAGUCUAAUCUCCAUGCUCGGACAGGAACAGAAGAAAGUUAAACUGAACCAAGCUUUAAAAUUAUACACAGAUAUGAAAGAUAUUUAAAACUUAGAAGCACAAAUUUCUAUUUCUCAACAGAUUAUUUAACACUUAACAGUUACAAAGUACCUUUCUUCAUUCUUUGGGAAUGUUUCAUGCUUGCAGAUACUAUGUACUUAUGGUAUAUUCAGUUCUAACUGCCAUUGUAAAUUUCAAUAAUGCUAGUUCUUACUAUUACCUCAAGCAUCCCAGCUUGUUAUCCUAAAACUACUGUCAACAUUAUUUGCUAGUGGAUAUCUCACCAUAGCCUCGUCUUGGUUUCAUUUUAAAUACACUAAAAAAAUAAAAUGUUAUAUCCCCUUAAAUAGAAAUAUUUCUGUGUUGAUUAGACCUAUUUUGAAAGUAAAAACGUGCAGAUACUCAAUUAUAACACCUUCUUUUAUAGGACAAUUACCAACCAGAAUGGUCACUGAGGAUUACCAACUUAAAAUAUGUUAUGCUAUGUGUCCUGCAUGAACAUCAAUUCCACCCAAAGAUCAGUUAUGCUUAGUCUACUACAUCUGGCUCUUAUGGAACAAUAACAGAGAUCAUUCAAAGUGGGUUAAAAAAUGUCUAAAUAACAAACUAAUUUCAAACAACAGAUUAUCAUGUUGGCUAAAAGUAAAUAGAUGUGUCAAAUGUCAUCUAAAUUACACUGUUGUCGCUGUUCUUGAUCUAUCAACAGCGGACCCUUUUCCACAUCCAGGUUUCUGUCUAUUGGAUAAAUUCUGCAUAGAAGAGGAAAGGGUGUCAGUGCAAAUAAUCUUACAUACUGCAAGCUUGCUAGAAUAUGUAACUACAGCCCUUACUUCUCUGUCCAGUUCCUCAAUUUUUGAUUUGAUAACACGAGUAAUUUUCCCAACUUCAUCAACAUCCUUCUCCAUCCGCUGCUUGAUUGCUGCAGAUUAUGACAGGAAAAAUUUACAAUAAACAGCUUAUCUAAAAUGCAGUGUCAUCACAAGAUAGAAAUAGUAUGUGCUGAUGCACAGUUCAAUACUUUUACGUACAGAACAGAGUUAUUUGAGUCUACCAAUGUUGUACGCCUAGUUUGAGACAAAAUAUUCAGAUAUAGUUCUUAACUGGAAAAGUUCCAUACUUCCAAGCCAAGAUUAAGGCUCAAGGCUAGUUUAAGUAGUUAAUAUUUAUGUAGAUAAUUUACACGCAGUUUGACCAGAUAAUUUCAAAACCUACGCAACUUGUGAUAUUGAAUAAGACAUACUGAAGUUUCCAGCUCAAUGCUCUCGCUCUGUAUCUGUAUAACAAUUUAAUGCCUAAGACCAUUCAUAGCUCUACAUUGAAGAACAAUCAUCUACAUUCAAUCAAUGUCAGUAACAGGCAAAAUAUUUCCAAUAAUCAUGAUAAUUCUGCCCAUGCAACUAGCUAACCAAGCAUAUCCUAGUCAUACUGCACGCAUUAAACAGAAAUAGAGGAGGAGUUAAUUGCCUUUCAUAGCAGAGGCCUUGGUUACAGCCUUUGACUCCUCAUGAGCAUCCUGCAGACAACAGUAGACAUUCAGGUAAGCAGACAAAGAUGGUAACACAUAACUCACCUCUGAACUCAUCAAGUAGGAUUAAGAUUAACAAAAUCCUUGACAUGGUACAGUAAGUGGUAAGAGUAAAAAAAAUUCACUAUGGCAUGAAAAAUUCUCCUUAUCCAGAAAAGAAAUGGGUGAAUUUGUCAAAUCUGGUAAAUUAAGCAAAUAAAUGAUCUUUUUUCUCCACUCACUUUUUGAGGAGCAACAAUUUCAGGGGUAAAGGUUGGAAGUUGAUUAGUUUAACCUUCUAUCACCAUUGUCAUCGUGCACAAAGGAAGCAAUUAAUUGUCACAAUGCAUUGAAGUAUGAUGAAAAAAAUACAAGGACGAAAAGGACAACGAUCCAUUGAAAUUGAUUUGUUCAACAUUCAGAAGGGGAAAUAUGGGCAAGGAUAAAAUAGAAGGAAAAAAAAAAGAGAUGUAGGAGAGGAAACAAUAUCCAUACCUGAAGUUUUUUAAGUAGCUUAUUCAAUUUCUCAUAUUGGUUCUCAAUCUCUUGCACCUAGAGACACAGUAAGAAAAGUUAGAAAUGAUUACUGUAGCAUUGCAAGCAAAAAACAAGCAGAAGAUGAACUGUUUUACCCCAUCAAAAAGGAACAACAAUAACAUCAACAAUGUGAAUUCACCUUUUUAAAAAAAUUGUCCAGGCCUAGUUCUCCUGAAUUCAUUGGUUGCUGGGUUCCCAUUUCGAUAUCCCCAUUUCGAGAAGUUUCCUCCCGAGGGAUGACAAAAGAAUCCUGCAAAAAGAAAUAGAAGAAGCAUUCCUGUAAACGGUGACAAGAAUAAAAAAGGGAACAGCUAAUGGCUUCUCAGAGAAUCCUUGGCCAGAAACAUGCUACAAAGAUGAGCAUAUAAGCUUCACUUUUAAAAUAUUUUAAGUUUCUCAAAAUGGAAAUUAAGAGUUAACUGGAAUGCACUUAUUCUUGUUAUACACAAGGACAGUAAGUUCCUAUAGAGAGUUUGCAAGCAAUGAAUACUGCUUGAUUAAUACAAACUUCAGAAAGUGUGAAUUUUGCAUCCAGUUCCAACCACCAAGCACACCAAAAGUAGAGUACCAAGGACUGUAGGCAGAAGAACAAAGUCCAUGACGAUGCAACCUCGUAAUUCCCAUCUAAAUACAAACAUCUGAAUGCAAUUGAGAACAAUAAAUAGAUAAAACCAAAAAUAAAAAAUAAAAAAAAAGCUCAUUGCUUUGCUAGGGCUUUUACGGAUUUUUAGCACCCUCAAGUUUAUUCGUUUAUCCUUCUUGCAUAGCCAACACAAUUUCUGCCUGAGCUUUAGCUCAUAAUGAAGGCCAAUACUGUCACGGAUCUCCCUGUUCAUUCUGUUUAAAUUUCUUAUAAACCCAGUCCUGUGUUUAAAUAGCUUCAAAAAGCCGAUCCAAAAAAAUAAUAAUAAUAAAGAGAGAGAGAGCAAUUUUUUAUCUCGGACGAAAUCUUGAUCUCCCAAAAGUUUUCUUCAGCUAGCGCCAACUACUCCGGGUUGCAUUUCAUUACUUCAAGAUGUAAACACACACAGAUACACGCAAAGCUACGUACAUUGAUACACAAACAAGCACAAAAGGUGAAAUCUUUUUUUCAACACUCCUUGUUCCCGAGUUUGUCAAAUUUAAUGAUUUCAACCGUUAACACUAGCAAUGAACUAGCUAAGAUAGAUGCCAUAAAUUUUCAGAAUCAGAACAGAAACAAGACAAAUUGAAACAGGAGGAACGAUUAGAAAAAAAUGUGGAAAUUACCGUUAAGAGAUCGUUCAUGUUGGAAGCCGAUUAAUAACAAUGCCGUGAAAACUUCAGAGAUGAAACGAUUAAAAAAGAACAAAAACGAAAAAAAAAAAAAAAGAAAGAAAGAAAGAGAAGGAGAUCUCCCUCCCUCUGUGAUUUCCCUCCUCUCUUUGGUGAGGAAGAGAGAGAAACCAAGAGAAAGCAAGAGAGAGAGAGAGAGAGAGAGAGAGAGAGCUCUUUUAUUUUAUGUUUUGGGUUGAACUCAGAACCAGCAUUCCCAUUGAAGGAGCGUGAAGACAGCUUCCUCUCAUUUCCCCCACUACUCUCUUCUUCCAUUUUUCUUUUUUCACAUUUAUACUUGCGUCAAUAUAAUUAAUUAAAUUAAUGGGCUGAUUACUCUUCUAAAUUAAAAUUUUCCUUAACUUAUGAGAAGUUAGUAUUUUGCUUAUACGCAGUCCGAAAUUUUAAUCAGAUAUUAAUUGCUUUUGAUAAUGCAGCAAGUUAUUUGAAAAGUAAAUAUCCCCUUUAUAAUUUAUACUCUUUUUUUUUUUUUUACUUCAUGAAAAUUUGAAUAUUUAGAUUUUGUAGAUCUUUUUUUUUUUUUUUUAGGGAUUUAAGGAAACUUUUGAAAUUUCAAGUGAUAACGAGACCACCACGUGAAUAUCCAAUGAAUUGGUACAAAAGUGGUAAGAUAAAAGGAAUCAUCACAUUCUUUCACCAAUUUUAUCAACUUGAAAUUUCGCUCUUUGUUAUGGAGCUUCUCAUAAAUUUGAUAAAAUUGACAGCAAAGCUUGUUAUGUUAAGCAGAAAAAGAAAAAAUAUAAUCAAAUGAUGACAAUUAAGUCAUGGUAACAUGGGAGGCAAAAUGAACAUUAUUGACCUGUUGUGUUUUUAUUCCUCGAUGAUUUAUUAGUUUAUUAUUGUUACUCCGUUAUUAUUGUUGUGAUUUGGAUGGAUCUUCAGAGCCUGCCAUUAAUUAUUAUUUGUCCUCACUCAAGAUUUUGCAAACUCCACCGCAUGCUGUCCAGCUGCAAUCUUUACCAAGUAGUAUAGUGUGUGUUUUUUAAAGAUUAUUCGGCCUUGUUUGGAAUCCAAGUUUUUUGUCAAGUUUAUCUGCUACAAGUUUUUUAAAAAUUUUAACUACAGUAACUUCAAAUAUUUUCUCAAAAAUUUUAAACUAUACACUUCAAAAUAUUAAAAAAUCUACACAUUUCAAAAAAAAUUUUAAAAACAUCUACAGUAAAAUUUUAGACAAACUCUUAAAAAACUUACCUUCCAAACAGGGAACAUCAAUUCAACUUUUUGAUUGAUUGGUCUUCAAACUUUCGCAAGUGUGGACGUUUUGUCUCAAUUGCAAUUUUUUUCUUUUUUCUUUUUUUUUUAAACCUUAAAGAUCAAGAAUCAGGUAGUGACUUAUCAAGUUAGAUUCAGCAAAACAAACUUGAAGCAAUUGUGGGUUGGUUUACAGUCCACUGAAAGUUGUGAACAAUUGGGAGAAACUCCAAGUAAAUUUGCUCUUGGAAUCUUCAACUUGGGAACAAAUGGUGCUGGGUCUGGUCCGGCACCUAACAUACUUCUCGAAUCAGAAACAACUCAUUCGAGUUGCCGCUCCCAAAUGCUCGGCAUUUUUUUUUAAAAUUUUUCUACUUUAUAAGAAGAAACGCUGGGCCCAGAAUCUGGCCUGUACGGGCCUCUUUAAUGUGUUUUUUUGUGAGACAGACAUACGGGCCUCUUUAAUCCUCUGCCUGUUAAUGGGUUUUUUUUUUUGUUGCAACAAUAACAAUUAUAUAAAAUACACUAAUCUAUUCUUAUAUGAGAAAGGAGAGUCGAUGAAAAUUCCGUAAAAAAAAAAGCCACUCAAAUGUGACAAUCACAAUUAAAUAGUAAUUUUUGAUAAAAAAAAAAAUUAGGAUUGAACCCUUGAAGGCUUAUAAGUCUUGGGUUACCAACGGACCAAGAGGUUGUUGGCUCUGCCUGUUAAUGUGCUGCGAUAGCAGAUUUCGAGAAAGUAAAACUAGUGCUGUUGCGACAUGGAUUUGGGGCUGGAACGGUUGUCAGAGCAACUGUUCCGAAAGGUGUAACAUCAUUUGCACACGAUGUAACAUCAUGUGUAUAAGGUGUAAUAAUAGAACAACAGCGAAUAACACUAGAACAACAUUUUUGUGGAUCCCACACGACGUGAAAAUCGAGUUACAAAGGAGUGAUCUGAGUCACACAAAUUUUUUUGAUCUAAUCAUGACCGUGAAACUUUCGAAACGGUUGUUUCUGACAAUCGUUCCAGCCCCUCCUCCUCCUCCUCCGUUGGGACAUAGGCUGUCAACAAACACUGGGCCGAGACAGUACCUUUUGUUUGUCAGACAGAUAUCUGGUGACAGUCCUAGAAACCCUUCCUUGCCCAGUUUGUUAUCUCCACCCGUCAUCAAAAGCAAUUCCUUGAAGCAUAGAUAUAUGGACAUCAUCGGUAUUCAGGUAGAAAAAGUUACCACUAACUGAACAAAACGUUUCUGCUUGACGUUGUCUCAGCUCGAAUACUCCGUGCUUUGUAAACAACCACGUUAAAGAUUUUUUUUUUUUUUUUUAAAUCCAGCAUGUAAUUUAUUUUUUGGUUAAGGCAUGAAGAAGUUCUCUCGAGUCCAUUCAUUUCGAGGCUUGGUUUUUGAACUAGCCAGCCCUUCAUAUAUAUUGAAUAAAUGGGCGAGCAAAGCCUCAAAUUUUGUAUAGCGUGCAAUUGCUAGAUCAGACUCCCUAGAGGGUCGAGUUGGGCUAUUUCGAGCCUGAAAUUCUUGCUAAACACGAAAACAACCUCCCCGAUUUUAAUUCCUAUGCCUAAAUUACUGAGGGUGGAAGUUUAAUAAUAAAUGAACAAGGAGGUUGGAUUAAGUUUUCUCAUCCCUCCUCCUAAUGCCAACUCCUACCCUCACUAAUUUAGACAUCGGAGUUGAAUCGGGAGAUAAAUCCCAUCUUUGUUUUCGUGUUUUGCAGGGACUUUAACCCCAAAACAGCCGAAUUCGACCCCCUGGAAAGUCUUAUCUAGCAAUUGCACAUACAGCAGCCCCAGAGUUAGAGCCUCUCAACGACGCAUUAGUCCUGAAGUUCAAACAGUACAGAACAGGAUAUUAAAGAGAAAAACAAAAAAGAAAAAAGGGGGGGAUGCUGAAUUUGGGCUCUACCGCGGAAGUGACAGAAGAAGAGGGUCGAGUUGGGUUUUCAGAAAAUGAGUUCCUUAGUGUGCAAGCAGUCUGUGAUUCCCCAACUAACGCAACCCAUCGCAAUUUAAUUUAGGAGCUUUGAAUUCACACACACGACAGCCUUAAUCCCAAAUUACUCUAAUCAGAUUUUGGGCCCCGCUGGAGCUCCCCACUUCACUCCUACAGCACCCAUGACCCACCCAUGUCAUCUCAUGUCUGCCAUCCCUUGUUACGCUCUUCACGCGGUGACCUUUCCAUAGACUACCACAAUUACCAAUUUACCACCAUCCCAGCCCACGCCCCUCCUCUUUCUCUCUUUUUCCCUUCAGUUUUUAUCUGGUGCGGGUGAUCUCGCUAGAUUUGCUUUUUCUUCUACCUUGCCUAUAAAUAAUAUGAUUGACCCUCGACAGAGAGCCCCCAAACAGAAGUAGAAUUAUACACAUAUUCCAGAAUCCAGGAGAACCACCUUCCCCUGUGUACGCAAAAAUUCUUCCUAUCUUCCCAGCUGCAUCAAUUGAUCCCAGGUUUGUGUGUGUGUGUGUGUUUUUUUUUUUGCUUUAUUUAAUUGGUUCAAGCUGAUAACGCAAACUCAAUAUCCAUGUUUAGACUACCUGUCCAUGGUCGGUACUUGGAUAUAGCGUUUGUUCGUGUCAUUCAUGCGAUGAUCUUUAUCCGAAUUUCGCUGGUUUUGAAUAUUUUGUCACUUUGAUGCUCCUGCUUUUUGGUUGAUUAUCGCUAUGAUGUUAUUGGGAAUUAGUUCUUUGUGAAAAUGAAGAGUUUUAUGUUUGAGAUGGCAUGUGAUCUCUACCUUUUCUCAUUUUGUUGUUUCUAUUAUAGCUAAUGCAUCGAGGGUCGAGGGGAUGUUUGAUGGUUGCUAUGAAUUAUGAUGAGCUACGUGAAGAGGUUCGGGAUUGGAUGGAAACAGGGGAGGGUGCUUUCGGAUGCAAUAAUCAUUGACAUAUAAAUUCGCUCACCCUUCGUGGUCUCUGGGAAGAAAAUUUACCUGCUUUACUUAUUUUGUAAGCAGUUUUUGUCGGUAGAGGUAGAGAAAUAGGAAGCAACUUAGGAGAGGGUGAUCGUAACUUGAUAUAUAUGAGGCAAUUUUCGUAGUACCGAUUGAUAUGGCUACAUUCAGGUUUCUCUGUUUUCAGCUGUUUUUGCUUUUUGCUUUUUCCCAUUUCUCCAAUAAAGUCUAGAAGAUGAUCAUCGUCUCAAAACAUCAGUGGAAGUCUGGUUUUACACAAUUUAGUUUUUGACGGUACAAGUUCCAGCGCUUGUGCAAUUUUAUUUGUGUUUGUAUAUCUGCCUUUUUGCUUCAUUUCUCUUAGUAGUUCUCGCGAUCAAAUUGAUUGAGUUGGAAACGCUAACACAGAUCUCCACAAUUUUUCGAUUUUCUCAGAUACUUUGACCUACGAGAGAAAAGUUCACUGGUUGGACUGGCUACAAUACCCAAGAUGGAAGACAAAUCUUAUGUCGUUGAUGAAGGCAUAGAAAAGUUGGAGAAGGAACAAGUUCAGCUGAAGGUUGAGAGCAAGAUUAAAACAUCUGACAAAGCAGAAGAGAAGACAGACGGAGAAGUGGUAUGUAAGUCCAAAUCAUUGGAAAAAGAUGGAAAGGAGCUGAAGAAGAAAGGAGACGAUGAAAAUGAUAAGGAAUCCACCAAGAAGGACAAGAAGAAGAAAGAAAAGAAGAGUGAUGACGAAGGGGAGAAGAAGAAAAAGAAGGAGAAGAAACACAAGGAUGGCACUGAUGAGGAGUCUGGUGAGCAUGAUGAAGCAAAUAAGGGAAAAGACAAGGAGAAGAAAGAGAAGAAGGAUAAGAAGGAUAAGGGAAAAGAGAAGAAGGCUGAGAAAGAUGAAAAUGUCGAGUCAGAGGAGGAACCAAAACACAAAAAGGAUAAGGAAAAAGAGGAGAAGAAGAAGAACAGCAAGAAGGCUGACAAAGAUGAAGAUGUCGAAUCGGAGGAAGAGAAGAUAGGAAAAAAAGACAAGAAGGACAAGGAAAAAGAGAAGAAGAAAAAAGACAAAAACAUUGACACAGAGGAUGUAGGGAAAGAGAAAAAAGACAAGAAGGGCAAGGAAAAGGAAGAGAAGAAGAAGAAGGGUAAGAAAGAUGAAGAUGUUGAAACUCAGGAAGAAGAUAAAGAGAAUGAGCAGGGUGAGGUGAACAAGGUUGAACUAAGAGAUUUGGAAGACAAAAAUGAUAAAACACAGGAGGAAAAGCAGGGAGUGGAAGGGGAAAAGAAGAAAAAGAAGCAGAAAAAUGAGGAGGAAGAAUCAGAUCAUGAAACUAAGGAAGGGAAAGAUGAGAAGAAAGGCAAAAAGAAAAAAGAGAAGCAUAAGGAAGCUGAAUCCAAGAAGGAUUCAGAUGAAGAAAAAGAUGAGGGAAAGAAAGACAAAAAAGAUAAGAAGAAAAAGCACGAGAAAGACAAGAAGGAGAAGAAGGAUAAACAAGGAAAGGAAGAAGGCGAGGAAGGAGGUUUGAAGGAGGAAACAGAAGGCGACGACGAUGGGGUCAAAGAAAAGAAAGAAAAGAAGAAGAACAAGAUUGAGACUUGUAAGAGUAGGUCUGAUGAUGAAGUCACCGCAAGGGAGAUUAAGAUAAACGAAAAUGGCAGCGAUGCAGUAGAAGGGAAACACCAAAAAGAAGCAAAUGAAGGUAAGGAUUAUAAGGAUAAAGACAAGAAAAAGGGAAAGGAUGAGAAGAAAAGAAAAUUUGAAGAGAAGCAUAAAAGUAAAGAUCUCGAUAAAUUGAAAAAGAAAUUAGAUAAGGUCAACUCCGAAAUUGAGAGUCUUCUGAAGAAAAAGGCAGACAUCUUGAAGAUGAUCAAAGAAGCAGAGGAUAAGAAUCAGGCUGUUGUUGAGGUUUCCAAAACUGUGGAGAAAGCAGAAGAGUAAACAGUGGCUGCUACUCAGUUUGCUUAGAAUCGAGUGGCACUACAUGCUUUACCUUUGCAAUAUCAGAUUGUCCACGUUACUGGUAGAUAACUCAAUGUACAUGUAUGGUGUGCUCAUAUACCUGCAAUUUUCACUUUGUUUUUUCUAAGAGUCCUUUUUUGUCUACAAUGAAUAAGAAGAAAUUUUCAGGCUAGCGAUGUUCAUGUCCCAUUGGUUGCACUGCUUUAUGGAGAACGGGCACGCUUGAACUUUAUAAGAAGUUAUUUAUAUUUUCUGUGAGAUAUGCUCCGUCAAAUUGGUUAAUUUACUCCAAGACAAUUGGGUAAAAGGUUUUAUUUCCAUUUCGCAUUCCCAUCCCUUUCUUUUUUUUUUUUUUUUUUUUUUUUGUAGUGUGUUGUAUGCCUGGGUAUAGACUGAAUAAGAUUUGUUUCUGAUAUUUUUCUUCUCUUCUUGUUGGCUGGGAUAUUUUCCGUGAAAAACAAUUUUGAAUCUGAAUACAUAGGCAGCAAAAUUAACUAAAAGAAGGAAAUUCUAUUUCAGCAUUCUUUGGUAUUGAGCAAUUUGUUAUUGUCAUAGGAAAUAGUAGUGGGUCAUAAUGGCGAUCCCCAACGUGCAUACGAAGCUGAUCAACAGACUUGAACCAUGUAUAGCGAAACCACAAUCACCAAAUGGAAGGUCAGUGACACCUAGUCCUUCGGUACCUGGAGGCCAAGCUACUACAAGUGCAUCAAUGUGAUCAAGAUACGGCUGAAUCACGACUGGACGUCCUGAACUACGACACAUUUGACUGAGCCACAGACAAGACAUUGCUCAUGACGCUUGGACCUGGUUCAGGAAUCGUCAAGUCCAAGCUAUCUCCGGGUGUCUUUGCAUAUGGCAGCUCUCCCACUGCUACAAUGGCACCAGAAAAGUUGUUGGAUUUGACAAAUUUGGUGUGUUUGGAUUGCUUGUUUUCGUCGGAAAAUAUUGUCGUUUUUCGUGAUCACAUUUCCCUGUCACCUUUUUCCCUCACAUAUAUCAAAUCGCUACAGUAAUUUUUCCAUGAAAAAUGACGAAAAAUGCAAUUCAAACACAUUAGUAUCAGGAGUUUCCUCGAAGAUGACCUCUGUUGGUUGAUGAAUGGUUUUUCUAAUGGCACCGAGGAUUGUGGUACCUACAGAGAAAUGGUGUCUAUUUCCUCGGUGGUGGCUGAAAUUAAUAAUAUUUCAGGAAUUGAAAGUAAAAAAUUCAGUUCAUGUAUUGAGGAUGCACCAACUGUAAUGUUGCCACUCAAAUGCUCAAUGCUGCUCCAGCCCCCACACUGAAAUCCAAGAUUAUUAUCUGCAUGGCUUCCUGCUGCCCAUGCUCGUGCUGCUAGUCCAACAAGUGGUAUUAGUGGCACAAGAGAUUUUCAGACUGCAAGUUCUCUAUGAGACUGUCCAAAUUAGUUUUCAGAUAAGCAUACCUGAAAUUUUUCUUGAUCUUCUAAGCACCAGUUAGUUGAUUUGACUCCAGGACGAGCAUGUUCUGAAAUUACCUGGUACUUAACCAUAAAAGAUUCAGUCAUAGGCUCCUCACGGCAUUGUCAAUUUAAGUCUUAAGAACAUAGUAAUAGUUAAUUCUUCACUAAGAAGGUUAGCCCAUCAAUGAAUUCUGGGUAGUUGUAUGAAAUCGUAGCCUGUCCAAAUUAUGUGGCUCAAUUGAGUAACUAUAGACAUGCAUAAAAGCGUUCGGUGACAGCAUAAUUACUGUAGAUGACUCGAAAUUAUGCCUCAAAGCAUUUUGAAAUAUUUCACUUGAGACUGCCAUUAUUUAUUUCGGACUCAAUGCAUCAACCAUGUGCCCCGUCCUUCAAUGUAAUUACACAUAUUAAUCCUGGGCCUCAACCAAAGUUUGCUGUUACACAUUUUAUCUUCCAACUUUGUUGAGGACGCGAAGAUUUCCUCUCUCUUUCGACGAAGAUAUUGCUUGUCCUCACAGCAAAUGCAGAAGAUCAAGAAAUGCAUUACGCAAUCUAAUCAAAUGUCUAUCAGUAGGAGUAAUGAGCCUCCGAAGGUUUUGUGGUGAGGCCAAAUCCAAAUGGGAACAACGGGUCAUAAUGUGGAUCUCCAACGUUCAUAGGAAGUUGAUCAACCGUCUUGAACCAUGUACGUGGUAACUUGCCUGAGAAACCAUAGUCGCCAAAUAAGACAUCAGCAACCCCUUGGCCUUCAGUGCCAGGAAGCCAUGCUGCUACAAGUGCAUCGAUUUGAUCAAGAUAUGGUUGUAUCACAACUGGACGCCCAGUGAUGAGAACAACAACACAUUUCACAGAGCCACAGACAUUUCUGAUGGUGCUUGGACCUGGUUCAGGAAUUGUCAAAUUUAAACUAUCUCCAUAUGUCUCUGAAUAUGGUACCUCUCCUACCACUACAAUGGCGUAAGAGAAUUUACUGGACUUGACAAAUGCAGAACCAGGAUUUUCCUCGAAGAUAACUUCUGUUUUUGGGUGGAUGGUGUUUCUAAUGGCGGUAAGAACGGUCGUACCUGCAGGAAAAUAAACGAUUGGAAAAUGUAAAGAUCUUUUUCCUUGUUCCAUUUUGCUUGGGGUGAGGGCCUGAAUAAGAAAUGAAGAGCACAAAUUUAGAAGUUGACUGCUAAUUGAUGUACCAAUUGUGGUGUUGCCACUCAGCCCGUGCCACGACACAGUCCAUCCUCCACACUGGUUGCCAAUGUCAUUGGCAUGGCUGCCUGCGACCAGUAUUCUCGAUGCAUGCUUGGGAAGGGGUAGCAAUGGUUCAUCUUCGAAUCUAACAUUUUUUAGCAGAACAAGAGAUCUUCUCACUGCUUCCCUAGCCAGUUCCCUAUGCUCCUGUCCAAGUCAACAGUUCAAAUGCAUAAAACUUGAUGAUCUUCUCUAAUAAUCCUACAGAAUUGACAGCAGUCUGGGACCUGAGUAUAUUCUCAAAUCUCAACUUACCUGACUUCCAAGGUACUUAAUCAUGCUAUAAUCAGGAAAUGGGUACUCAAAUAGACCCAUCAUGAACUUCACCCUUAGAAUCCUCCGCACAGCAUCAUCAAUUCGGCUCAUAGAAAUGAAAGAGUUGUUCACCAAAUAGGUAAGACCAUCAAUGAAUUCUGUAUAGUUGUAGGGAAUCAUGAUCUGCAAUUCACCAUCAAUCAAAUAAGUAUGGUAAAAUGGACUAACAUGACUUAGCUUCUGACCAUAAUUUACUUUUGGAGCACAAUAUGAACUAACCAUGUCAAUGCCUGCAUUUACACCAACUAAAAUCGAAUAUGUGGAGUUUACAUGCUCUGGUGAAGUCAUCUUGUAAAUACCCUGAGAAUCUGAUAUGACAAACCCCUAAUAUAAUUCACAAACAUUUGAAAAUCAUAUUAUUUACUGCACUAGAUAGGUCUCAGACAUGGUAUUUAUCAAUUCAUGGAAAUCAACGGAGAGAUUAGCUUUACCUCAAAAUGUAGGGUAUUUUUGAGAAAGCCAGUAAUAAGAUCACGAUUAGCAUGCAUCUUUACACCAUUCCAGCUAGAGUAUGAGAUCAUGACAGUUGAUACGCCCUUAAUUAUUGAAUCAUUGUAGGCAGGCAUAUGGAUACGUAGCAGGUCAUCCCAGUUGGCCACUGUAUCGUACUCAUUGAUGCCUCGGAUGGUUCCACCAUCGCCAACAUAGUGCUUUGCACAUGCUAAAACAUUAUUUCUGCGCAUAAUCCAUCCAAAAGGAAGAAAUAUAAAGCAGUGUCUUUUCUAUGUUGAGCAUAUUGUUUAAGCUACAACUUAAACUUCAGCAAAGAAAUUUAGAAUAACUCCCCCAGCUAAAUCCCCAGACUCCAAAAGCAAUUCCCUUUCAGAAAAGAAACAUAAAAAAGAAGAACCACCACAAGGAAAUUUGAAAUUUGCUUAUCAGACCAAUGUGAUACAGAAAAAAACAUGCUUUAGCAUCAAUAAGUGCCUCUUAAAGCUUUGACUCUUCUAUGAAAGAAUUUUGGGCAAAGUUCUGUUUAUUGCACCACAUAUGAGCCAAAGUAAAAAUGAUUGAAGAAGUUUUGUUGCUCAUAUCAUCAUCAAAUAGUCAACCUUGUCGAUUUUUGUCUUAUGUUGUCAAACAGAACAAGGUAACGUCAUUCAUAUACGACUGCAAUCACAAUUCUUCUUAUUUUUGCUUUAAGUCUGCUUUGUUCUUUAUCCUUCUGUAAUAGUUUUAAAAUCCAAAUAGAGAAAAGUUCUAAAUAUUAGCAGAAUUUCAAAUAGAUUUGCAGUGAAAUGAAGAAAGUCAUAGACCUACAAAAACUAAGAAAACACAUCUAUUAAUUCCACCAAAUAACUGCCAGAAUGAGAGUACAAGACAUAAAAACUAGUACAAAACAUGAGAAUGGCUCUUCAUAUUCUAUAAUAGAAAAUGGGCAGGCCUCGAUAGCUGAAAAGCAAGUUAUUGACAUUGUUUGUUGCAAGACAUGAAAGGUACAAGUUGUUGAACCAUACAAUUACAGGAUGCAACCCUUUCAGUACCAUGGAAUGUGCAGUCUAACUAAAAGCCAGAAGGAAAAAUUGUUCAAGUCAAAGAUCCAUGCACACCAUUAAUUAAAGGUUAUCAUUUUGAAAAAACCUACUAUAUUAGACACUAAAUUCUAAAAGUUGGGAUGAAUUAGCAACUUAGGACUUUGUUCAGUAUUUUGUACACACCAGGAUUGAGAAGAAAUAAUUAGUUUGUAUGGAGCUUACUGUCCAGAAAUGUAGGGGACACCCUUAGGAGAAUCAGGAGGAACAUCUCCUUGUAAUCCUAGAAUAAUAUCAGUCAUUGCUUGAACAACUUGGGGAUCUUCACUAUAGCUUUCAAAACAGCGACCCCAUCUGGGAUCUCGACAGACCUGACAAGCAAUAAACUUUGAGUAAAAUGAACAGACUUACAAGAUUUUAAAGGUAAUUUCAGAGAGAAGAUCAUUUGAAUAAUUUUAUUACAGCAACGCAAGGUGCAAAAGAGUACUGUAUGCCUGCAGCUCUAACUUCAAGAGCAGUUGCAGCUCCUAUCUUCUUGACUAGUAAAGGAUCCCUGAUACAAUUAUUGCAGAGUUUAGCAUUAUACCAGCUGAUAAUGCUUAAUCUUCUAGCAAAGUGUCCUAAUCCAUAAUAUGGGAAAAUAGUGAUAGUAUGACAACACGUUUCCGAGAGAAGAAAAUCUUUUUGCUCUUAGCAACAGGACCAGAAAUAUUAUAAGACCAAGUUGUAGACUAGAUCUUCAAUUUGAACAGCUAUCUUUUCCAGGGUUCUGGAAGGCCAAAAUGUAAACUGGUUUUGCAUAAAAUGUCUCGCAAAAAACUUUUUCUUUAUUGCUUGCAAAAGUAGUUUCGAAUUUUCUCAUUCCACUGUUAUGUUGGUUCUGUUCUUUGUUUUAACAUCUCAUUGCAGCAAGUUUGGAAAAUUAACAUAGGACUUGACUAGAGUAAGGUAUAAAUAAUAGAUUCACUUUGAAUUUCAGAAAGCAACUUGCCUAGCUGCUCCAAGACCAAUAUUAUGAGGAAAAACUGUGGCUCCAUAUACAUCAUUGUUGCCAUGAAUUGCAUCGAUCCCAUAUAUGAUAGGUAUGCCAAGACGUGUUGAUAAAGCACCCUUCUGGAAUUCGUUCACCAUGUCCAUCCAGGUCUCAGGAGUAGCCCUGUUAGGUAAAAGACUUUCCCCACCAUUGAACACACUGCCUGCUCAAGAAAAUCAAAAUCUAUAUGAUUUGUUUAUAACUAAUCAAAUACUUGAGCAGACCUCACAGUUUCACAAAUCAUCAUUAAGUGAUACUCUAUCAAAGAGUAGGUAUACCAAGAGUGUGUGAUGUUUAUACCAAUAUAGUAGUUUCUCACGACUUCAGCUGAUGCAACAACGCGAUCAAUUUGGGACAUUUGACCAAUCUUUUCCGCUAGGGUCAUCCUGCUCAUUAAAUCCUUAACUCUCACGUCUACUGGCUGUUUAGGAUCUUUAUAUCUCAUGUACUCUGCUUUUGUCUUCACUGUCCAGCAGCACAAGACCAAAAUCCCCACCACAAAGAAAUGACUCCUUGCCAUUCUUACCAUCAGCAUCCCCUUCACUUCGCAAACUAAUGGACAACACAUAAAAGUCAAUUAGACAAAUACACCAGCAACAUAUAUUCACGAGAUUAAAUAGAAGAAAGCAGCAAUUUAGGAACCAAAAAAUGUAUCCCCUUUUGUUUUUGAUUUUGUGCGUGUGUGUGUGUGGGUGGGUGAAAGGAGGAGGACGGGGGGUGGUUAAGUCAAAAAUUGGCAAUGGCCAAGAGAAUAAAAGAACGCGCACAGUGAUUGUAUUCAAGCAGUCCUUCAAGUCUUACACGAGUACUUGGCCAGCAACGUCCACUUGAAAAUAAUCAGAACAACUAGAAAGCAUUCUGAAGUUUAAUCUAAACAGAAAUGCAAAUUCUUGCACGAACAUCAAAAGCACUGAACAUAAUAAUAGAAGGGAUAAAAUUUAGAGCGAAGAAGUUUUACUAUUUGGGCUCCAUUCCUUUAUUUCAGCAAAUGCUUACAUAUCUAAUCCAUCUAGAAGCUUAUAUUGUCAACCCAAGAAGAUUAGUCCAUGGAAACUUACAGUAGCAGAAAAGAGAUGAUAAUCACACAGUCCAACGGUGGCACUUCUUCUCCGGUGAUGAUUCUUGCUUGGAGCUGGCCAAACACCCUCGCAAACAACACCACCAAACGGGUUUGCUGUUAAUGCGGAAGAGCAUUGAAGUUUGGAAGAAUAGAAGAUUAAAAAGACGAUUAGAGCAGCAAGUUCAGCCAAACGUUUUUAGUAAAAAAUAUUUGAGUGUGGUAGCUUGUUCCGUGGGCAAUUUAUAAACAGCACCAAACCAAGUACUGCUAGAUAUAAAGAAUAAGAGCCACUAUUUGCACUCCGAUCCCUGAGAUUUUCAAUAAUUAGAAAACACCACUCUAUACCUGGCUCGACAGAGUACACAUGACUGGUCCACCACGAUUUUUCUUUUCUUUUCUUUUCUUUUAUUUUUUCCCCACAGGCGAUCGGUCCCCCAUUUUGUGCCACGUAUUUGGAUAUUUCGACUUGUUUAGUGGAAAAAGUCGGCAAGUAAACCUUCACUGGUAGUUUGGGAGUUGAGGAUAGAAAAGAAAAGAAGAGAGAGGUUAAGUUAUGAGAGAAAAUAAAGCAUAAGAAAAGAAGAGAAGAGAUUUUAAUGUUAUUUAAAAAUUUAUGAAAAAAAGAAAAUAAUUUUGAACACAUUGAUCAAUAAAUAUUCCAUUCAAUAGUUUUUUAAGAAUAAAAUAGACAAUUUAAAAAAUUUUUGUAGCCUUUCCAUAUUGUUUCUUUGUUUUCUGCCUGAUUUGGGAUGGAAAUUUUUUUUAACUAUAACGGGUCUUUUCUUCCUCCCAAAUCAGUCAAAUUCUUUUACUUUUUUAUUUCACUAAAACUUUUAAACAUGAAAAAUACCUAUUUUUCUCUUCAACACUUUUCUUUUAUAUUCAAAUCUCAUCUCCCAACCUAGGCAUCAGAACUCAACCCCGAGAACUUUUUGUUUCCAAAUAAAUAAAUAUAAAUAUACAGCAUAUCUCUUGAAAGUCUAACGUGGUAAAUGAUCAUAAUUCUUAGGUGUAUAAAAAAGCACCAACCAACCUAAAGAGGGAAGAGGCGAAGAGGCGUGGGGAUUAGAACAAUUUGAAUUUCGACCAAUUAUAAACCAAUGUUAUAAUAGUGACCUGCCUUCUGUCCUUUGUCCAAGUAGAGAGUCAGAUAAACCGUGGCCCACUGGUCCAUCCGCACAGGUGUAUCGCCGGCUGGAACGCGACUACAAGUUUGCCCCUUCUCUUAAUUGACAAUUUAAGCGAUAGAUUUUGGACAUAUUGCAGUGAUUCGAUCAGAAACAUCGUAGUCCGCAUAACAAACGGCACUCGGGCGGAGCAAAUAAUGUAUCUCAGGGUGCAAUUGCACAUUUGCAGCCCCUCAAUUUUUUUUGAAAGCAAUAGAAUGGCCUAUAAAGAAAAUCUAAUUUUUUUUUAAUAGCUUUACUCUAUACACAUUAUCCACCUACUAUAUACGAAAGAAUUUACAUCUUGAAACCUCAUGCAUAAUUUUAAUUAAUAGUAUGUAAUUUCAUACUAUUAGAUAAUUUGAUAACUACUGCAAAUAAUAAAUAACAAGUUGCAGCAAUUUUCCAAAAAAAAAAAAUUUGUGUAUUUAGAGCAAAUAUUUAGUUGUACUAAAAAUUUAUAAACCAACACGUUGUAAGUAUAAACUAAUGUUGUUAUCCCUCGAAUAAAGUUCCUGACUCAACCACUGGGUAAAUCAUAGCUAUGGUAAUUUUUUUAUUUUAGUGUGUCAGUAACAUCAUUCGAACACGAUAAUCAUUUCUGUGCAAUUUUAAAAAUUUUCAAGGAUGACUUAAUCUUACUUAAUUUAGUUAAUAUUUUUAAAAUAUUAAUACAACAAAUGUUCGAUAAAGAGCUGCUAGUUAUUUGCUUAGUUUCAUAUAUAUAUAUAUAUAUAUAUAUAUAUAUAUAUAUAUAUAUAUACAUAUAUAUAUACAUAUACACACACACACACACACACACAAACCUACAAGUGACAUAUAAAGGAGUGAGAUAAUAUCAAUUGACCCAACAAAAAUUUAAAAAAAUGGGGUUGCUUGCAUUGGUGGAUUUGGACCAUUUUUAGCCGCGGUAGAGAUUUUGUCAACCUAGAUGAGUCAGGCUGACUGGAUUUUAGAUUUCCAUCUCUACUAGUGAAGAUUGAAGAUCGCACAUGAACUAGCGUCUCUUAGUUUAUCGGCUACCAGAGACCUUGCAAGAGUAGGUGCCUCCACUCACGAGUGGCCGGCCCAAGCCCAUUAUGUCCGAGCCCACGACCCACAUUGAUGUGUCAACUCAACCCGCCAGCCGCAACACUGACGUGUACAUAAACCCACCGGUACCUUUCUUUUCUUUAAAAAAAAAAAAAAAAAAAAAGAGAAUGUUACUCACGUCAUGAGAUUUUUUUUUUUUUUUUUUGUGUUGGUGCAUCAGUAAGAUUUCUUCCACAAUGGUUUCUCUGAUUUAUAUCUGAUUCAGCACUACAGGUUUUAGAGCUUGGGUGGGCAUUGGAUGCUGCUUAGCUUAAAAAAGCUUUCCACCUUAAAAGCAAAUUAGUAAAACUAUACUAGAAUGAAAAUACACAUCACAUCACUGGCACCAAUUUCAUCAACUAGUAGCCUGUUAUUUUUCAUUUUUCACCAAAAAUAUGUUUGAAUCAGAAAUUUUUUGUAAUGGUACCAGACUGAGUUACGUGGAAAUUCUCCAAUCCAAUGACAGAAAUGGACAAUUCAAUCAGAUAACAAUCAAUCAAUUGAAAACUAAGAUUCGGAUUUAACUCAGAUAGUUGUAAUUGAAGUAGGAAUUAAAAGAUACAGAAAAGGCGGGAAAAGCUAAGAAGAUGAAUGAGAUUGAAGGAAUUGGGGAAAAAGAAACAGAAAGGGCUCAGCCCAAAUCUCUGUUGAAUUUACACGGAAUUCUUGCUACCUAUUACAUCCAUUCUAUCCUAUUUAUAGAUAUCCAGCUGAUAACCAACUUCAUAGCUUCCAAUUGUCGUGACCAAGUGGCUGAGAACCGUUGCAGCUGAAUUUGAAAGUUUGUUAUUCUUCAUGUGCGUCUGUUGCAGAAAGCAUCCUCCAUUUAAAGGCGUGGUUUUGAAACCACGUUUUCCUUUGCUUCUUCUACCUAUUUCACGCCUUCCCUUACUCUGUCUCCACGCCUUCAGAUUGACUUCAUGACAAUAGCUUCCCCUGCAAUUAAAUCUUGACCUCAAGAUUGGAAUGCUGGAAAUUUGCGUUCUAUCUCUUCUGCAUCUUCCCACGUUGCUUCUGCAGGAGAGGUUCCCUACCACUGAACCAACCAAUAGACUGCUGCUGCAUUUUUUUUCUUAACAAUCUUUCGAUCCAGCACAGCUAUUGGCUCUACCCUGAAGUGACCCUUCUCAUUUGUAUCUGGUAAUUGUAGUACUGGCACCACCUUCUGUCCUAUCUUUUUCUUUAGCAGUGAAACAUGAAAAACUGGGUGUAUUUUGGAUGAAGUUGGGAGCUGAAGUUUGUAGGCUACCUUUCCUAUCUUCUGAAUCACUUGAUAAGGUCCAAAGUACCUGGCUGAUAAUUUGGUGUUGCUUCUCAUCUCCACAGAGUUUUGCCUGUAAGGUUGUAGCCUAAGAUACACCCAAUCCCCAACCACAAAUUCCCUUUCAGACCUCUUUCUAUCAGCAUAGAUCUUCAUUCUGUUCUUGGCCUCCUCCAGGUGCUGCUUAAGCAAUCCUUCGAUCAUCUCCCUUUCCUGUAAGUGAUCUGCCACUGUGGCUACCUUAGAGUGUGAAUACGUACCCAAAGCUAGUUGAGGUGGUUUCAUUCCAUAUAAUGCUUCAAAGGGGCUCAUCUGUAUGGCAGUGUGAUAAGUGGUAUUGUACCACCAUUCUGCCAUUGAUAGCCAGGCAUUCCACCUCUUGGGCUCCUGGUGUGUCAUGCAUCGUAGAUACAUUUCCAAAACUUGAUUCACCCUCUCAGAUUGACCAUCUGUCUGAGGGUGAUAAGCAAUACUUAGGCAUAGUUCAGUCCCCAUUAGUGAGAAUAACUCUGUCCAGAAUUGACUGGUAAAUACCUUAUCUCUGUCUGACAGCAUGCUCAGGGGCAUGCCAUGUAGCCUACAGACCUGAUCCAAGAAGACUCUGGCUACUGUUGGGGCAUCAAAGGGAUGAGUUAGACCUGUGAAGUGAGCAUAUUUAGUGAACCUAUCCACUGUGACCAGGAUUGUGUCCUUCCUUUCUGAAUUGGGCAACCCCUCAAUAAAAUCCAUGGUGACAUGACUCCAGGAGUACUGAGGUGUGGGUAGUGGUUGCAGGAGACCAGGAUACGCAACAUGUUCGUCCUUGCAUCUCCUACAGGUGUCACACUGCAACACUGUCUCCUUGACCUCCUUAUACAUCCCUGGCCAGUGGAAGAACUGCUUGGCCCUUAGAUAGCUAUCUUGCACACCAGAGUGACCUCCCAGCUGUGAAUCAUGGAUGGCAGUGAUGAUUUUUCUCCUGAUUUGACCUCCAUUUCCUACUACCACCCUUCCCUUGUAUUUGAGUAUCCCAUUCUGACAGGAGUAGUCCUGUAGAGUCCCUGGUGUGAGGAUCAGAUUCCUGAGUAUCUCCUGGACCUCUGCAUCUCCUCGAUAGCUUUCCUCCACCUCUUUGAUCCACUCAGGAACGACACAAGUCAUUUCUGCAAUCUCCCCCUCCUCCUUGCUGCUUCUCCUGGACAGUGCAUCUGCAACAACAUUCUCCCUGCCUUUUUUGUAUUGAAUGUCAUAGUGUAAUCCCAAUAGCUUAGUAAGCCACUUCUGUUGGAGUGGAGUAGUGACCCUUUGAUCCAGCAAAUAUUUGAGGCUCUGGUGAUCUGUCCGGAUGGUGAAGUGAUGACCUUCUAGGUAAUGUCUCCAUUUGGUAACUGCAGUAACCAGUGCCAAAAGCUCCUUCUCAUAAAUGGAUAAUCCUAAGUUCUUUGCUCCUAAGCUCUGACUCAAAUAAGCAAUAGGCCUCCUGUCUUGCAUGAGCACUGCUCCAAUCCCUCCAUAGCAUGCAUCUGUUUCUAUGAUGAACGCCUAACUGAAAUCUGGCAAGACCAGCACAGGUGUGCUACACAUUGCCAUCUUAAGCCUCUGGAAUGCCUCCUCAGCCUCUUCAUUCCAUUGGAAUCCCUCUUUUUUCAACAGUGUUGUUAGAGGCUUGGCAAUGGAACCAUAACCCCUCACAAACUUCCUAUAGUAGCCUGUUAAGCCUAGAAAUCCCUUUAGUUGUUUCAUAUUUCCAGGACGUGGCCAGUUUAUCAUCCCUUCAAUCUUCCUAGGGUCUGCCUGCACUCCUUCAGCAGUGAUUAUAUGGCCCAAGUACUCCAUUUGAGUCUGUGCAAAACAGCAUUUGCUCUGCUUUGCAAACAGUUGGUGCUGUCUCAACAGGUCCAGAACUUCUGUCACGUGUUGGAGAUGAGUUUCCAGUGUGGGGCUAUAUACCAAGAUGUCAUCAAAGAACACUAUCACAAAUUUCCUCAGCUGCUCCUUGAAAACCUGGUUCAUUAAGCUCUGAAAAGUAGCAGGGGCAUUAGUUAGGCCAAAUGGCAUCACCUUGAAUUCGUAUAGUCCUUGAUGAGUCCUGAAUGCAGUCUUGUGUCUGUCCUCCAUCUUGACCCUGAUUUGAUGGUAACCUGCCCUUAGAUCAAUUUUAGUAAAGUACCUGGAUCCAUGUAAUUCGUCAAUCAGCUCAUCAAUCAGAGGCAUUGGAAAUUUAUCCUUCACUGUGAGCUCAUUGAGUUGCCUGUAGUCCACACAAAACCUCCAGCUUCCAUCCUUCUUUUUGACUAACAGGACUGGAGAGGCAAAGGAGUUGUUGCUAGGCUGAAUAAUUCCCAUUUGUAGCAUUUCCCUGACCAGCUUUUCUAUUUCUGACUUCUGUACAUAAGGGCAUCUGUAGGGUCUGAGUUGGAAGGGUCUGGCACCUUCUUUGAGUGGUAUCCCAUGGUCAUGGCUCCUAGGAGGAGGUAGGCCCUGUGGCUCAACAAAUAUAUCCUGGUACUGGUUCAGCAUUUGUUUCACUUCUGCUGGCACCUCAUCCUGUCCUUCCUCCAGUAUGGUGAGAAGUGCAGUUACUCCAUACUCUUGUUUCCUCCUCCAUUUCAUCAACUUGCUCCCUUUAAUGGCUGUCAGCUUAAGCUUAUUAGAUUCACCCUUCAGCUCCACUUUCUCCUUCCCUCUUGUGAAUUUCAUGCUCAACUGGUUAAAGUCAAAUUCGAUGGGACUAUAUCUGGCCAGCCAGUCCACCCCCAGCACCAUAUCACAACUUCCUAGCUGCAAAGUGUUGAAGUGGUGCUGAAACUCAUGUCCCUGUAUCUUCCAACUUAGUGGUCUGCUGAGCUGUCUGGACUCCAACCUUUCCCCAUUAGCCACUCUAACCACCAGGGGAGUUCCUGUUACCUGCAGUUGCAGGUGGGAAGCCACCAUUUCAUCCAGAAAACAAUGAGUGCUGCCACUGUCAACCAGAAUUAAGAGUUCCUUCCCUGCCAGUACCCCUUUUAGCUUAAAGGUGCUGUGUCCCUCUCCUCCAGAUAAUGUGUGGAUUGAAACCUCUAUCCUUUCAUUACUGAUUCCUCCCUCAAUACAGUCACAAAACUCUUCUCCUUCAUCCAUUUCCCCUUCAGCUACUUCAAUUAGCUCAGUUGGUUCAUCCUCCAAGAUAUACUGAAUCUGAGCUUGCUUGCAGAUGUGGCCUAGAGUGUAAGGUUCUGCACACUUGUAGCAUAAUCCCUUCUCCCUCCUGUAGUUGAAUUCUGUGGGAGAGAUUUUCCUGAAAUUGUCUGCUGUGUUUCCCCCUGCCUUGGGUCCCCUGUGGUAAUUGUCCCUGAGUAUCCUAGAGCCUUCAUGGUGCCAUUUGUUCCUCAAUUGUGGGACAGGGUUUGGCCUGCUGCUUCCCAGGGAGCUGGAAUGGUAUGGGGCCCCAUGGGGUAUUGUCCUCUGUGCCUUCCUUAUAACUUCUAAAUUCUUCUCCUCAGCUUAGCAGCUUCUAUAGUGUCUGCCAAAGUACGGGGUCUAGCCAUCCUCACCAUGUUUACAAUUUCCCCCUUCAAGCCACUCAUAAAACAAGAUUUAUAAUAGGAGUCAGGUUGGUUGGGUAGUAGAGGCAUUACCAAGGAUUUGAGUAGUUCAAAUUUUUCCAGGUAGUCAGUCACACUACCAGUCUGAGCCAGUUUGUUGAAUUCUUCUAUGGUUUCUUCUGGUGUUCCUCCUCCAAACCUCUCGCAAAUGGCCCUGGACAGCUCCUCCCAAGGAACUUCAGCUCUUCCAUGGUACAUUCCAAGGAACCAGAUAUCCGCCUUCCCUUUGAGAUGCAGUUGAGCCAGAUCAGAUUUCAGUUCCUCUUCCACUCCCUGGAUCUGGAAAUACUUGUUGGCUCUCCUGACCCAUUCCCUAGGAUUCUCUCCAUCAAACACAGGGAAGUCAAGCUUUGGCAACCUGUUUCCUCCUCUUCCUUCUAUUCUCUCAGGUUUUUUGCUGACCAGAUCCAACCUCUGAUAUCCUCCUGAACUACUUCCUUCCUUUCCUUUUUCCUUGUCAGAUAGCUUGGCCAUCAUCUGCGCCAUCAUAUUCAUCAUACUCUCAUAUUUCUGAUCCAAGUUUUUUAUAGUUUUUUCAGUACUCUCUUGCCUGUGCUCCAUAGCUCUCAUGGCUUGCUCCAUUCCAUCGUUCUUAUUGGCAAACGUCCUCAUGACACUCCCUAGCUCAGUCAGGUCCUUCUUCAUCAUCUCCUCCUGUGUCUUAGUCAUCCCUAAUGGCUCGUAGCUAGCUCUGAUACCACUGUAAUGGUACUAGACUGAGCUAUGUGAAAAUUCUCCAAUCCAAUGACAGAAAUGGACAAUUCAAUCAGAUAACAAUCAAUCAAUUGAAAACUAAGAUUCGGAUUUAACUCAGAUAGUUGUAAUUGAAGUAGGAAUUAAAAGAUACAGAAAAGGCGGGAAAAGCUAAGAAGAUGAAUGAGAUUGAAGGAAUUGGGGAAAAAGAAACAAAAAGGGCUCAGCCCAAAUCUCUGUUGAAUUUACACGGAAUUCUUGCUACCUAUUACAUCCAUUCUAUCCUAUUUAUAGAUAUCCAGCUGAUAACCAACUUCAUAGCUUCCAAUUGUCAUGACCAAGUGGCUGAGAACCGUUGCAGCUGAAUUUGAAAGUUUGUUAUUCUUCAUGUGCGUCUGUUGCAGAAAGCAUCCUCCAUUUAAAGGCGUGGUUUUGAAACCACGUUUUCCUUUGCUUCUUCUACCUAUUUCACGCCUUCCCUUACUCUGUCUCCACGCCUUCAGAUUGACUUCAUGACAUUUUUCUCACUCAGGGUUUCAGUUGCCCUUCUUGGCUUCUGUGUUCAGGCCAUAUCCAAAUGGGUACAAUGGGUCAUAAUGUCUGUCCCCGACGUUCAUGGGCAGUUGAUCAACCGUCUUGAACCAUGUAUGAGGAAGCUUGCCCGUGAAACCAUAGUCACCAAAUAAAACAUCAGCAACCCCUUGGCCCUCAGUUCCUGGAAGCCAAGCAGCUACAAGUGCAUCAAUUCGAUUCACGUAUGGCUGAAUGACGACAGGCCGGCCGGUGAUCAGAACUACAACGCAUCUCACAGACCCACAAACGUUAGUAAUGGUACUAGGGCCUGGUUCAGGAAUCGUCAAGUUUAAGCUGUCCCCGACUGUUUCAGCAUAUGGUGGCUCUCCCACCACAACAACCGCAUAGGAGAACUUGUUGGACUUGACGAAUUCUGCAUCAGGUUUUUCGCUGUACACAACUUCUGUUGUUGGAUCAACUGCAUUUCUUAUACCAGUCAGGAUUGUGGUACCUGUUUACCAGAAAAGAAUAAGUUGGAGUCAGUUACCAGUACGAAUAAAUGCCAUCACUGCUACUGCUAUCAGCUAAAAUGAUAACCAAAGAACCUUUUGUGAUGUUGCCGCUGAGGCCUUGCCACUCAAUUGUCCACCCACCACAUUGGUUACCAAUAUUAUCAGCGUGGGUUCCUGCAACUAGAAUGCGUUUCGCUUUCUUGGGGAGGGGUAGCAAUGGCUUGGCUGCGGAUUCGCCAUUCUUCAACAGCACAAGAGAUUUCCUCACUGCUUCUCUUGCCAGGUCUCUGUGCUCCUGUUAACGUUAAAAAAGUGUUUAAACUUGGGGCCAAGUGAUCUCAACUUCUCUUUCAUCUUUUCUAUUCAAUCCGCUCUUUGUAAAUCGACACCCACUUACCUGCAACCCAACGUAUUUGGUCAUGCUAUAGUCGGCCAAUGGGUGCUCAAAGAUGCCCAUCGUGAACUUCACCCUCAAAAUCCUCUUCACUGCAUCAUCAAUUCGGCUCAUUGGAACAAAAUUGUUCUUAACCAGGAAGGUUAGACCAUCAAUGAAUUCUGUAUAGUUGUAUGGAAUCAUGAUCUGCAACAUCCGAAAAAUAACACAAGUCCUUCAGCAUUUAGCAGAGUAGAUUAAUAUUAUAAGCUUGUUAAGCAAAUCAGACUGACCAUGUCAAUUCCGGCGCUGACACCAGUGACAAUUGAGUAUGUGUAAUUUGCAUGAGGAGGAGAGGUAAUAGUGUCAAUGCCUUGCCAAUCUGAGAUGACAAAUCCCUGAAUAAUAAUUCAGAACUUAAUUAAUCCUGUGCUCGAUUGGAGAUGUCGAAUGAGGAACUGGAAGCAGGAAGGAGUACUUUUUACUUUCGAAACUGAUUAGUUUACCCUAAAUCUCAGCGUGUUCUUAAGAAAACCAGUGAUCAUUUCACGAUUAGCAUGCAUCUUUAUUCCAUUCCAGCUUGAAUAGGAGAUCAUGACAGUUGAUACACCCUUGAUAAUUGCAUUAUAAUAGCCGGCCAUAUGGAUGCUAAGCAAACCAUGCCUGCUGAUCACUGUAUUAUUCCCAUUGAUGCCUUCAGUCGUUCCUCCAUCACCAACAAAGUGCUUAGCACAUGCAGCAAUGUUCUUUCUGCCAAAAAAAAAAAAAGAUUAAUCAAGAAUGCAAAUUCCGAAGGUACAGGGUAUACAAUUUCUGGGAAUUUAUUAUCCAUUCCUAGAAUAAUAUUUUAAAAAAAUAUACAAAUUUUAGAUCGAAUGGAGUAAUUUUCAUGUAUCUUCUAAUUGACACCGGGUAAAGCUAAACAACCUCCCAAUUCCAAGUUUUGAAGCUUUGAACGGUCAAUUGGACUUUCUAACCUUUUUGUGGGCAUUUGGUUAGAUAUCUUAUUUACUAGUAGAUGUUCUUUGUUACCCCUGUUUUAAAGUUCAAUCAAUCCGGUCCACAUCAGUUCUUGACAAAAAAAAAUGUAAAAGCUAACAUCCAACUGAAGGAGUGGACUAUAGCAAACAAGGUGACGGGCAAGCAAGUCGCUGCAUAAACGGGGAAGGCCGCGAACUUGAGCAAAAAAAAAAAGUGGCCGGAGCAGAAUGAGAUGAGCAUGAAAGCUGUGGAUACAAACAGCGAAGUUAAACCCAAUAGAAGCUUACUGGGCAAGCUGGUGCCAAAAUCUUUUUCUUGGUACCUAGACGUGAGAAUGGCUAGAAACAUGACUAAGGAGGUGACCGAAAAGCAAAGCGCAACAAGGGAUGAAAUGGCGAAGCAGUCAAAUGCGGGCUUGGGAAAUUAUGGAUUUAUCCCGAAAUUUUAGUCAGAUCCGAGUUUGGAAAAUUUGGGAUUAACGGAUGUUUCCGAUUUUGUCCUUGAAAUUAUGCCGGUGUGCUAUUUUUAGCCGAAAAAGGGCAAAUACGAGCAUUAUAAUGAAAUUGGCUCAUAAUUUAUAAAUUAAGAAAUAUUCUGGCUGAUUUUAAAUGUCAGGGACUAAAAAAAAUUUUUGUGAAAAUAUUGGGGAUCAAUUUGGCUAAUUUACCAUCAAGAAAAUGAUGGAAUAAGAGGAAUUUGCAAUACGUACUGGCCAGCAAGAUAAGGAACCCCUAAGCGGCCAUUGGAAGGGAUUUCCCCUUGUAAUCCCGGAAUAAUCUCAGUCAUUGCGCUCACAAUUUUGGGAUCUUCACUAUAGCUUUCAUAACACCGGCCCCAUCUGGGAUCUCUGCAGACCUAAUCACAGAUCAGAAAGGGCACUUAUUUUGAUUGUUUCAAUGUACUCUGAGCUGCAUAACAAUUAAUGGAUCACAGAAAGAGUUAAAUUACCGCAAUGCAUGGUGCAAAAGCAUAUUGAAUGCCUGUAGCUCUCACUUCAAGGGCAGUUGCAGCUCCAAUCUUCUUCACCAGUGCAGGGUCCCUGCUCAAGCGGGUAACUCAAAGAGUUUAAUUGCCACAUUCAAUUAAAGAUUCAAUAUUGAGAAGAGGGUAAAUUCCAUUUUAUCCCCUUAAACUAUGCCCAAAAUCUCACUAUAGUCCCUAAACUUUAAAAUGGGACAUUUAAAUCCUUAAACUAUAUAAUCCGUCCCACUUUACUCCAAAUUUUGACGAAAUACACAAAAUCUAACAGAAUAGUUGCCAAUUCAUUUAGGUUAUAAUUAUAAUUUAAUUUAAUCAAAUCUAAUAGGGACAUAAAUAUAAUUUAAUGAGACCCAAUAUAAAAAAAACAAAGAGUCAGAGAGAUAAAGAUAAUUUUACCUCUUUAAUUAAUAAUAAUUAAAGUUUUUUCCCUUUUUUAAUCGAAAAGCCAUGUUUUUAAACUUUACUUUUCUUUUUUUUUUCCACCUUUUUUUCUAUUUUCCUUUCAUUUCCUUUUCUAUUUUUUCCUUUCUUUCUUCACUACCUUCUUCCUCCAUUACCGCACAUCAACCACUGCUACACAUCAUCUACCUUUUCUCUUGCCAUCAUCAUCCGCCACGUUUUACUACUUCAUUCUCCUCCCGAUGAUGAAUCCAAAAAUAUGAUGUUUAUCACAGAAGAAAUCACAAAAUGUUUGCCAUACCAAUACAUCACCAUUUGUACUUAUCACAACCUGUAACUUGUUUCUUGUCUCCUUUUUGAAUAGCCGCCCCACCCAAUUUCUUAUCCCCUCUUCUCCAUUCACCUAAUUUCAUAUCACAACGUUGUAGGAGCAUUUUUUUAUGUUGUAACGGAAAUAAUGUAAAUGAUUUGUUCAAGAAAAGAAUACUGCAAACAAAUUUGAGAUUUCUUGAAAACCAAUUUUACAAAUACCAACUGAAUUUAAACCCAGAAAUCUAGAAACAUAUUUUGAGAGAAGGAGAGAAAAAGAAAAGAACGAAAGACCAUCGAGAAAAUGGGUCAAUCCUGUUUGAUUUGUUUCCCACCAGCCAAAUCACAGAAUACAAAUUUCCUCAAGAGGAAAGUUGUGAGAUAAAUAAAAUAAUAUUUUCCUCCAACCUAUUAGCUCUGAGCGUACCUGACCCGGCUUUUGAGUCUCGGCUCCGAGACAAAGCCUACCUCGAAAUCCUCGACCAACACACCUCCGACCUCCAUCGUCUUUCCACCUCCACUUCCGUAGCACGAUCCACCCCCUCUUCCUCCUCCUCCAACACCACCGCCACCACCAUCCCUUAUGGCCUCGUUAUCUCCCUCUUUUCCCACUCAAAAUUCUUUGUUGAUAUUGAUUUGGUUUCUGAUAUUUAAAAUUUUUUUUCGUGAUUAUAUUAUAAUAAUUAACAAAUGGAGGGCUGCGAGUCAAGGGUAUGAUCAGAGCUUCUGGUGGCAAACGGUGGUAGUGGGUGGCAUGGGCGGUGUGUGGCUGGGAUGAAGGGAGAGAUAGGGAGGAAGAGAAAGAAGGUGAAUGAAUAAUUUUUAAAAAUUUGGAGUGUAUCAAAAGCUUUGGAUUUCAUGAAAUUACACUUAUGUCCCUGUUGGAUUUGGUUAACUUUAGUUAUAAUAAUAACUAACAGAAUUGGCAAAUAUUCUAUUUGGUUUUGUGCAUUCUGUUAAAAAUUGGAGUAAGGCGGACAUGUUUAUAGUUUAAGGAUUUAAAUAUCUCAUUUUGAAGUUUAGGGAUUAAAAUGAGAUUUUGCUUAUAGUUUGAGGGGAUAAAGUGGAAUUUACCCUCGAAAAGAUAGAUAUCAAAUGAUGCCAAAAAGAGCCGUAUCCCUCCCCGCUAAAUCCCUCCCCGUCCUUCUCCCCAAGACAAGAACUUCAGCUGCAGCUUUUUCAUAAAACAACAAACAAAAUGGUGGACUUCAGCUACUACAAUACAAGAGUGCGUUUUGGAGUACUCUCCAAAUUAUAAGCAAAUAACUCACGUCAAAUAAUUGUAAUACGAACUACUAGCCACAUAAAAAAUGGUCGUAAUCAAAGGAGAUGUGGAUUAAUCAUCGUCAUCUAGAAACUUAAUCACAGCCAAAUGGUCGUGCAGACUUACCUAGUGGCUCCAAGACCAAUAUUAUGAGGAAAAACGGUAGCCUUGUAGACAGUGUUGUGGCCAUGAACAGCGUCAAUCCCAUAAAUCAUUGGUAUCCCAAGACGCGUAGACAAUGAACCCUUUUGGAAAUCGUUUACCAUGUCCACCCAUGUCUCCGGCGAAGCCUGCUUAGCUGGAACACUCCCUCCACCACUCAGUACACUCCCUGCAAAUAACUGACAUUUUAAUCCCAGAAAAAGAAAAACGACAACACAUAACGAGCUCUUCUAAUUAACUGCAAAAAUCAGUUUUUUCAAAGUGCAGAUUAUUGAUGCAUACCAAUGUAGUACUUUUUCAUGAUCUCUCUGGAUGCGAUACUACGAUCUAUCUGCACCAUUUGGCCAAUUUUCUCCUCUAAGGUCAUCCUGCUCAAUAAAUCCUUAAUUCUAGUAUUUAAGGGCUGUUUGGGAUCCUUAUAAGGCAAGUACUCUGCUUCUGCUUUCAUGGCUGCACAGAUGCAGAACAAUGCGAUCCCAAAAGCCAGUAAGGAACCCUUUGCCAUCUUGAGCCUCAGCAUUACCUUCAACAGACAAAAGAGAACAGAAAAUUCUAUUAGAUUCCAAGCAUCCCAUCAAUAAAUCUCACUGAUGUAAACCGUGGCUUUGGAAAACGUUUAGACAACUGAAGUACAAGGAAGCAGCAUUUUCCCAAAUUUUGCCGUUUUAAAUCUGGAGAUGAACUAUUCAAGUAUUUGGAAGAGCAAUUAUUGGACAGGAGAAUAUCUUGGACAGUGGACACACGAAACAUGAAACGUGAACAUGUAUGUCCAUGCGUUUGUUUGACGAAAUGGACUUGUUAAAAAAGCGAAGACGAGUAAAAAAGGAAAUCUUGGGAAAGUAUAAAAUUAUCAAUGUAACACUAUGAUAGUUAGGAAAAUCAAGAUAAACUAUCAAGAAUCUUGAAAAAGGAACCAAAAAGUCCCUCUAAAAAAAAUGGAACCAAAAAGUUUUAUCUGAACGUAUGAGAUGCCCAGGAAAACAGUCCAAUGCUAUUAAAGAAUCAGAGCCUACUAUCACCGAUAGCCACUGAGUGGUGGUCUAUGGCUGCCGAUUUAAGGUAGGGAUGUAACUUACAGAGGAUGCAGCCAAAAUUGCACCCCAGCACACCAACUACUACUAUGCUUUUAGUAGUACAGUGUUUCUUUGUCGCUGAGAGAGAGAGAGAGAGAGAGAGAGAGAGAGAGAGAGAGAGAGUACACAGCUGCAGAUGAAAUGGGAUGUAGAGGGAUGCCAUUUAUAGAAAAACGUUCUGUCAUUUAAUUGGCUUGGUUACCCAUUGAUGCGGAUAUGCCCUCCAUAUUGUGCUGUAAAAGUCUGAUAUUAAGUUUGAUGGAGUUUUUUGCCAAAAUAACACUAUGUUAUUGUUGCCACCUAAUUUAUAGUUUCCAAAAUGAAUUAAAAAUUUAAAAUUUUUUUUAUUAUAGAGGAACAAGAAGAUUGCAUAACUUUUAUAAUUUCCUUAUAAUUAUUUAACAUAAAUUCUGCCAUUAUUGACCUUGCUAUUAUUGGUUUCUGAAUUUCUUAAAAUGAAUCAAACCUAUUGCAUAUAUUUUUUCAAAAAAAAAAUUAAAAAAUACAAAAAUUGCAACAAAAAUUUCAAUAAAAAUUGUAAGCAAUUACAAAUACUUCAAGGUGAUCAUAUUUGUUUAUGUUACCCUUCCUACUUCUUAAAAAGACAAGAGAAUAAUUUUUAUCUGCCUUGAGAUUAUCGAUUUGAGAAGCAUAUUUUUUAGGUGUUGUUAAUAUAAAUAUUGGCUUCUUAGGAUUAUGUUUGACAAAGGAAAAAUAAUUAAACAAAAAAAUGCGAGAAGGUUUAGAAAAAAAUUGGAGAAGACAUUAUAUGGGAAAGAGAAAUGAAAUAUGCCUUUAUCUCCAUCCUAGGACAUAUGCAGCUUAAGUGGCAAAAAAAGGAUCAUAAAAAUAAUAAAAUUUAAAAUUAGGUUACUUUGAGUAUAUGUUUUGGAAGACGAGUUAUUUUGGCAAUAAACUCAAGUUUGAUGCUAGGGUACUGAAAUGCUGGUCCACGUACACUGCAGCCCCAAGUGAAGACAGUAAUGGAACUUUGACGUUUUUGUAAGGUAGGGGAUUCAAACUAGUAAUAAGUUAAUGUAAAAAUAAUUCAAAACGUAUCUCAUAUUUUAUUAAACAAUUUUUUUCUCAAUUUUAAAAUAUUAAUUUUGCAUUUUUAUCAAUAUUUAGUUUCAACCUAAAUUUUCAAUUAUCUUUUAGUCUAAAUUCAUCACGUGAUCCACAUACAGUUAUUUUUAUAUACAAAAAUGUUAGAUCCCACUUUCUUUGUAGCAAAAAAAUAUAGAUUAGCUCAGAUCUUAUUUUUUUGAAAAAAAAUAAAAAUGAUUCAAGUCAAAUCCUAUUUUUUUUGAAGCAAAAUUGAAUAUGGAUUAGGCCAUUUGUUUAAUUACAAAUGAGAUCUAAUCUUUUUGCCCCUUAAAAAAUGACUAUAUGUGAAUCAUGUGAUGAAUUCAAGAUGAAAAAUGGUCGAAAACUUAGAUUUGAAUCAAAUUUUAUCAAUUUGAUUUUAUAAGGAUGUAAAAUUAAUAUUUUUAAAGCGAAUGAUUAAAAAAAUCAUUUGACAAAAUGUGAGAGACAUUUUAAAUAAUUUUCCCAUAACUGAUUUACUUCUCUCAGUAACUGCUCUAUCUUGUACUCUCUCCUUUUUUCUUUUUUUUUGAUACAUUUAUUUAGCUGAUUUCUUUGGUCAUUUGAACAAUGACAAAGCGUAAUACUUGCGUGAUUUUUUUUUUUCUUCUUGGGAAAUUUGGUCGAACACUCAACACGAAUACAAAUCAAGCUAACAACUUCUAGAAAGUUGAGAUUUUGAUAUUCCUAAAAUCCAAACUUAAAUAAUGUACAUAGAUUGUAAUUUUUUGUCAAAAAAUAUUUAUUUAUAUCACAAACAUAUUUUUCAGCACACUUUUUAUUUUUCUAAUUACCUUUUUAUCUCACAUAUAUCACAUCAUAAAAAGUAUUACAAUAAUUAUUAUAAAUAAUAUUUUAAAUAGUUUCCUAUCCAAAAUAAUCUCUUAUCCAAGUGUUACAGUAAUUAUUUAAAAUAAUCUCUUAUCCAAACAUAUAUUUUCUGAAAUUAUGAGUCUGUUUGGAUGACAUGUUUAUUAGGUGUUUAUCUAAAAUUUUAUUAUAUUUAUUUUUUUAAAAAUACUGAUAUAUGUCCAAAACACUCUUUUUUUUUCCAAAUAUCCCCCUUUUUACCUCGCGUGCUACUCGCCAUCCACCGCUGCUACCGGCCUCCGCCGUCAUUACCAUAUUUAGCUCUUUUUUUUUUUCAUUUUAUUAGACCUUCUGGGUAUUUUUGUGUAUUACUAUAGAUGCUGUUUUUUAAAAUUUUAUUUCCUAAAAAGUUACCGAAUAGACCCUAUGUUUAAUUUUAUAUGUAAUCCUAUUGGUGGUUCCCAAUUCGCUUUAGAACAAUUUAACUUAAAAUUUUAUUUGAAUAUGUUUGACAUUGAUCAAUGUACACUCUGUGAGAGGAGUCUUAUAUGGUAUUUGUUUGGAUCAGUGUAUUUGAAUUGACUAAGUUUCAUAUGCAAGUGAGAUUGAUCUACUUUCAUGAGAAUGAUCGUGUUUCCAAAAUUUAUUGUUGAUGUAAGAACUGUGUUGGUAAACGUUCUGUAAAUAAGUUAUUGUUUUAAAGAUAUACUUUGAUAUGUGAUGGUAAUCGGAACUGAAUCCAUCAAUUUUAUUUUAACAUUUUACUACCAAAAAAUAUUAUGACUUUGUUUUCUUUACCCAGAAUAUAUAUAUAUUUUAAAAAAAAAAAAAAAGACGACAAAGAGACAGAGAGACGGGGAAAGGACUGAACUGGGAUUCUUACCAUCAGCAUCCCCUUCAAUUCGCAAACUAAUAGACAACACAUAAAACUCAAUUAGAUAAAUAUACCAGCAACAUAUAUGCACGAGAUUAAAUUGAAGAAAGCAGCAAUUUAGGAAGCUAAAAAUGUAUCCCCUUUUGUUUUCUGGGUUUUUUUUUUUGGGUGGCGGGGAGGGGGGGGUUGUUAAGUAAAAAAUUGGUAAUAGCCAAGUGAUUGUAUUCAAGCAGUCCUUCAAGUUACACGAGUUCUUGGCCAGCGACGUCCACUAGAAAAUAAUCAGAAAAACUGGAAAGCAUUCUGAAGUUUAAUCUAAACAGAAAUGCAAAUUCUUGCACGAACAUCAAAAGCACUGAACAUAAUAGAAGGGAUAGAUUUUAGAGCGAAGAAGUUUUACCAUUUGGGCUCCAUUCCUUUAUUUCAGCAAAUGCUUACAUAUCUAAUCCAUCUAGAAGCUUAUAUUGUCAACCCAAGAAGAUUAGUCCAUGGAAACUUACAGUAGCAGAAAAGAGAUGAUAAUCACACAGUCCAACGGUGGCACUUCUUCUCCGGUGAUGAUUCUUGCUUGGAGCUGGCCAAACACCCUCGCAAACAACACCACCAAACGGGUUUGCUGUUAAUGCGGAAGAGCAUUGAAGUUUGGAAGAAUAGAAGAUUAAAAAGACGAUUAGAGCAGCAAGUUCAGCCAAACGUUUUUAGUAAAAAAUAUUUGAGUGUGGUAGCUUGUUCCGUGGGCAAUUUAUAAACAGCACCAAACCAAGUACUGCUAGAUAUAAAGAAUAAGAGCCACUAUUUGCACUCCGAUCCCUGAGAUUUUCAAUAAUUAGAAAACACCACUCUAUACCUGGCUCGACAGAGUACACAUGACUGGUCCACCACGAUUUUUCUUUUCUUUUCUUUUCUUUUAUUUUUUCCCCACAGGCGAUCGGUCCCCCAUUUUGUGCCACGUAUUUGGAUAUUUCGACUUGUUUAGUGGAAAAAGUCGGCAAGUAAACCUUCACUGGUAGUUUGGGAGUUGAGGAUAGAAAAGAAAAGAAGAGAGAGGUUAAGUUAUGAGAGAAAAUAAAGCAUAAGAAAAGAAGAGAAGAGAUUUUAAUGUUAUUUAAAAAUUUAUGAAAAAAAGAAAAUAAUUUUGAACACAUUGAUCAAUAAAUAUUCCAUUCAAUAGUUUUUUAAGAAUAAAAUAGACAAUUUAAAAAAUUUUUGUAGCCUUUCCAUAUUGUUUCUUUGUUUUCUGCCUGAUUUGGGAUGGAAAUUUUUUUUAACUAUAACGGGUCUUUUCUUCCUCCCAAAUCAGUCAAAUUCUUUUACUUUUUUAUUUCACUAAAACUUUUAAACAUGAAAAAUACCUAUUUUUCUCUUCAACACUUUUCUUUUAUAUUCAAAUCUCAUCUCCCAACCUAGGCAUCAGAACUCAACCCCGAGAACUUUUUGUUUCCAAACAAAUAAAUAUAAAUAUACAGCAUAUCUCUUGAAAGUCUAACAUGGUAAAUGAUCAUAAAUAAUUGUUAUACAGCAUAAAUAAUUGUUAUUAGGUGUAUAAAAAAAGCACCAACCAACCUAAAGAGGGAAGAGGCGUGGGGAUUAGAACAAUUUGAAUUUCGACCAAUUAUAAACCAAUGUUAUAAUAGUGACCUGCCUUCUGUCCUUUGUCCAAGUAAAGAGUCAGAUAAACCGUGGCCCACUGGUCCAUCCGCACAAGCGUAUCGCCAGCUGGAACGCGACUACAAGAUUGCCUCUUCUCUUAAUUGACAAUUUAAGCGAUAGAUUUUGGACAUAUUGCAGUGAUUCGAUCAGAAACAUCGUAGUCCGCAUAACUAACGGCACUCGGGCGGAGCAAAUAUCUCUCAGGGUGCAAUUGCACAUUUGCAGCCCCUCAAUUUUUUUUGAAAGCUAUAGAAUGGCCUAUAAAGAAAAUCUAAAUUUUUUUUAAUAGCUUUACUCUAUACACAUUAUCCACCUACUAUAUACGCAAGAAUUUACAUCUUGAAACCUCAUGCAUAAUUUUAAUUAAUAGUAUGUAAUUUCAUACUAUUAGAUAAUUUGAUAACUACUGCAAAUAAUAAAUAACAAGUUGCAGCAAUUUUCCAAAAAAAAAAAAUUGUGUAUUUAGAGCAAAUAUUUAGUUGUACUAAAAAUUUAUAAACCAACACGUUGUAAGUAUAAACUAAUGUUGUUAUCCCUCGAAUAAAGUUCCUGACUCAACCACUGGGUAAAUCAUAGCUAUGGUAAUUUUUUUAUUUUAGUGUGUCAGUAACAUCAUUCGAACACGAUAACAUCAUUCGAACACGAUAAUCAUUUCUGUGCAAUUUGAAAAAUUUUCACGGAUGACUUAAUCUUACUUAAUUUAGUUAAUAUUUUUAAAAUAUUAAAACCACAAAUGUUCGAUAAAGAGCUGCUAGUUAUUUGCUUAGUUUCAUACAUAUAUACACACACACACACAUAAACCUACAAGUGACACAAGUGUGUUUGGACAGGAGAUUAUUUGUCCAAAUAUAUUUGCUUACAUCACCAUUACAAUUUUCAAUAUAUUUUUUUAAUUUUUCAAUUACUUUUUUAUCUCAUAUACAUCAUAUCACAAAAAGUGUUACAGUAACGCGGAUUUGGUACCAUUUUUAGCCGAUAAUGCGGUAGAGAUUUUGUCAACCUAGAUGAGUCAUGGCUGACUGGAUUUUAGAUUUCCACGUCUACUAGUGAAGAUUGAGGAUCGCAGAUGAACUAGCAUCUCUUAGCUUAUCGGCUACCAGAGACCUUGCAAGAGUAGGUGCCUCCACUCACGAGUGGCCGGCCCACGCCCAUUAUGUCCGAGCCCACCACCCACAUUGAAGUAUAAACUCAACCCGCCAGCCGCAAACACUGACGUGUACAUAAACCCACCGGUUCUUUUCUUUUCUUUUCUUUAAAAAAAAAAAAAAAAAGAGAUAAGGCCACCUUGAAAUUUUCCUUUUCUUUUUUUCCAUUGGCACAAUUGUCCCAUUAAUUAAUGUUACUCACGUCAUGAUUUUUUUAUUUUUUUUUUUGUGUUGGUGCAUCAGUAACAUGAUCUCUUCCACAAUGGUUUCUCUGAUUUAUAUCUGAUUCAGCACUACAGGUUUUAAAGCUUGGGCAUUGGAUGGAUGAUGCUUAGCUAAAAAAGCUUUCCACCUUAAAAGCAAAUUAGUAAAACUAUACUAGAAUGAAAAUACACUUCACAUCACUGGCACCAAUUUCAUCAACUAGUAGCCUGUUAUUUCUUUUUUUCCACCAAAAAUAUGUUUGAAUCAGAAAAUUUUCUCACUCAGGAUUUCAGUUGCCCUUCUUGGCUUCUGUGUUCAGGCCAUAUCCAAAUGGGUACAACGGGUCAUAAUGUCUGUCCCCGACGUUCAUGGGCAGUUGAUCAACCGUCUUGAACCAUGUAUGAGGAAGCUUGCCCGUGAAACCAUAGUCACCAAAUAAAACAUCAGCAACCCCUUGGCCCUCAGUUCCUGGAAGCCAAGCAGCUACAAGUGCAUCAAUUCGAUUCACGUAUGGCUGAAUGACGACAGGCCGGCCGGUGAUCAGAACUACAACGCAUCUCACAGACCCACAAACGUUAGUAAUGGUACUAGGGCCUGGUUCAGGAAUCGUCAAGUUUAAGCUGUCCCCGACUGUUUCAGCAUAUGGUGGCUCUCCCACCACAACAACCGCAUAGGAGAACUUGUUGGACUUGACGAAUUCUGCAUCAGGUUUUUCGCUGUACACAACUUCUGUUGUUGGAUCAACUGCAUUUCUUAUACCAGUCAGGAUUGUGGUACCUGUUUACCAGAAAAGAAUAAGUUGGAGUCAGUUACCAGUACGAAUAAAUGCCAUCACUGCUACUGCUAUCAGCUAAAAUGAUAACCAAAGAACCUUUUGUGAUGUUGCCGCUGAGGCCUUGCCACUCAAUUGUCCACCCACCACAUUGGUUACCAAUAUUAUCAGCGUGGGUUCCUGCAACUAGAAUGCGUUUCGCUUUCUUGGGGAGGGGUAGCAAUGGCUUGGCUGCGGAUUCGCCAUUCUUCAACAGCACAAGAGAUUUCCUCACUGCUUCUCUUGCCAGGUCUCUGUGCUCCUGUUAACGUUAAAAAAGUGUUUAAACUUGGGGCCAAGUGAUCUCAACUUCUCUUUCAUCUUUUCUAUUCAAUCCGCUCUUUGUAAAUCGACACCCACUUACCUGCAACCCAACGUAUUUGGUCAUGCUAUAGUCGGCCAAUGGGUGCUCAAAGAUGCCCAUCGUGAACUUCACCCUCAAAAUCCUCUUCACUGCAUCAUCAAUUCGGCUCAUUGGAACAAAAUUGUUCUUAACCAGGAAGGUUAGACCAUCAAUGAAUUCUGUAUAGUUGUAUGGAAUCAUCAUCUGCAAUAUCCGGAAAAUAACACAAGUCCUUCAGCAUUUAGCAGAGUAGAUUAAUAUUAUAAGCUUGUUAAGCAAAUCAGACUGACCAUGUCAAUUCCGGCGUUGACACCAGCGACAAUUGAGUACGUGUAAUUUGCAUGAGGAGGAGAGGUAAUCCUGUCAAUGCCUUGCCAAUCUGAGAUGACAAAUCCCUGAAUAAUAAUUCAGAACUUAAUUAAUCCUGUGCUUGAUUGAAGAUGUCGAAUGAGGAACUGGAAGCAGGAAGGAGUACUUUUUACUUUCGAAACUGAUUAGUUUACCCGAAAUCUGAGUGUGUUCUUAAGAAAACCAGUGAUCAUUUCACGAUUAGCAUGCAUCUUUAUUCCAUUCCAGCUUGAAUAGGAGAUCAUGACAGUCGAUACACCCUUGAUAAUUGCAUUAUAAUAGCCGGUCAUAUGGAUGCUAAGCAAACCAUGCCUGCUGAUCACUGUAUUAUUCUCAUUGAUGCCUUCAGUCGUUCCUCCAUCACCAACAAAGUGCUUAGCACAUGCAGCAAUGUUCUUUCUGCCAAAAAAAAGAUUAAUCAAGAAUGCAAACUCCGAAGGUACAGGGUAUACAAUUUCUGGGAAUUUAUUAUCUAUUCCUAGAAUAAUAUUUUAAAAAUUAUACAGAUUUUAGGUCGAAAGGAGUAAUUUUCAUGUAUCUUCUAAUUGAUACCGGGUAGAGCUAAACAACCUCCCAAGUCCAAGUUUUGAAGCUUUGAACGGUCAAUUGCACUUUCUAACCUUUUUGUAGGCGUAUGGUUAGAUAUCUUAUUUACUAGUAGACGUUCUUUGUUACCCCUGUUUUAAAGUUCAAUCUGGUCCACAUCAGUUCUUGACGAAAAAAGCAAAAGCUAACAUCCAACUGAUGUUGCUUUCCCAUGAAUGCUAGCGUGCAAUCUUCCAUCAAUAUAUCUCUUUCAUCCCCUUGGAACAAGAAGAUUUUAGCACCCAAAACUUGAAUUUUAAGGAUGGCAAAUGUUGACUUUGGAUUCUUGAAAAGGGCAACACGACUUGAAUAGCUUGAAUAAGACGAAGGAUAUUUCCAAUUAUCCACAAAAGGGCAGCUAAUUGAAGUUUAUGAUAUAUUACUAGUACUUUUCACACUGGAUCCAGGAUUUAUAUGUGCUUCAGAAAGAAAGACAUCGUUGUUCAUUACUUUAUGAAUGAAUCAAGAAAAUGCUGGAAUAAGAGGAAUUUGCAAUACGUACUGGCCAGCAAGAUAAGGAACCCCUAAGCGGCCAUUGGAAGGGAUUUCUCCUUGUAAUCCCGGGAUAAUCUCAGUCAUUGCUCUCACAAUUUUGGGAUCUUCACUGUAGCUUUCAUAACACCGGCCCCAUCUGGGAUCUCUGCAGACCUAAUCACAGAUCGGAAAGGGCACUUAUUUUGAUUGUUUCAAUGUACUCUGAGCUGCAUAACAAUUAAUGGAUCACAGAAGGAGUUAAAUUACCGCAAUGCAAGGUGCAAAAGCAUAUUGAAUGCCUGUAGCUCUCACUUCAAGGGCAGUUGCAGCUCCAAUCUUCUUCACUAGUGCAGGGUCCCUGCUCAAGCCGGAAACUCAGAGAGUUUAAUUGCCACAUUCAAUUAAAGAUUCAAUAUUGAAAAGAUAGAUAUCAAAUUAUGCCAAAAAGAGCCGUAUUCCUGCUAAAUCCCUCCCCGUCCUUCCCCCCUAGACAAGAACUUCAUCUGCAGCUUUUUCAUAAAACAACAAACAAAAUAGUGGACUUCAGCUACUACAAUACAAGAGUGCGUUUUGGAGUACUGACCAAAUUAUAAGCAAAUAACUCACGUCAAAUAAUUGUAAUGCGAACUACUAGCCUCCUAAAUAGUGGUCGUAAUCAAAGGAGAUGUGGAUUAAUCUAGAAACUUAAUCACAGCCAAAUGGUCGUAAUCAAAUGAGAUGGGGAGGUUGUUAGAAUAGCUGGAAAGAUCCAUAUACCGAUAAUCUACCACGUACAAACUUACCUGGUGGCCCCAAGACCAAUAUUAUGAGGAAAAACGGUAGCCUUGUAGACGGUGUUGUGGCCAUGAACAGCGUCAAUCCCAUAAAUCAUUGGUAUCCCAAGACGCGUAGACAAUGAACCCUUUUGGAAAUCGUUUACCAUGUCCACCCAUGUCUCCGGCGAAGCCU
RNAcentral lists this long non-coding RNA (71692 nucleotides) under Coffea arabica (coffee). Its description in RNAcentral is "long non-coding RNA (CARA_LNC003977)". The record is from RNAcentral. Lineage: Eukaryota; Viridiplantae; Streptophyta; Magnoliopsida; Gentianales; Rubiaceae.